CGACACCUCACAACUUCAUUUGAACAAAACCACCCUUGAAUGAACCAUAGAGAGGUUGUGAUCUUCUGAAACUGAAAAUAUCAUCUAUGUGAACAAUGUGAGGCUCAGCUGAUUCACUAGUUUCUUCCUUCAACUCGGGUGCAUGCAGCCUCCCAUACACUCGAACACUCAGUGUCUUCUUCCGGGGUGCACCAGCUUUAAUAUUCUCGUUGAAAAAGUCAAUCAAUUCUUGUUGUGUCAGCUGCCUCAGUGCUGCAACCUGUUUCAACACUAAUGCUGUGUAAACCAACAACUUCAGGACAUGAAUACUCAACUACAAGUGAAAAAGAUAAUUUUAAUUUGCUCAGGCCCCUAAGAAGGUUUACAGAGAGCAGAGGCUGCGUUCUUCAUGUCUCUUGGUUUACCUUUUUCUCCAAAAAAAAAAAAAAUGAAAAUAAAUCUUCAAACAUACAAAAGUCUUAACCUGACUUGGUGAAAAAUAAAUAAAUAAAUUGAUGGUAAUUCCCAUACCUCAGCCUCCCUCCGAUCAAACUUGAGGGUCCCAUCAGAAAUCUCACGCCAGUAAAAUCCAGAUUCUUCAUUUAAAUUCUUGUGUUUCUCAAGCUUCAUGUCAAUCAAUGCAUUUACGUUGUUCUACAAAAAAAUGCCAUUUUCACUGUUAAGCAGCCGGGCAGAUUUUAUCUAAAAACACUCAUAUAAACAGAAUAUCUAUCUGGGAUUAUCAAGAAUAUAAUAAUUUCACAAAAAAGAAAAAAAUGGCUGAGACUGGGACAAUAUAUGCAAUUACAGAAAAAUUGAUAAGGAAUAUUCUCUCUUUUAAUAUCACCAAUCUCUUUGUACUUAAUGUAGUUCCAUUGCAUUUCAAGAAUAGGAUAUGACAAAAUGAUGAUAAAAAGAUGGAAUAAUAUCAUAUUUAUCUCAUAAUAAUAGCAACUGUCAAAGCCUUGGCAUAUGUAUAUAAGUUAAUAGUCUAGAAUUAAGAUUAGGGAAGUACUUUCUCUAUUCAAAACAUGUUAUCCAAAUGAUUCUUUUGAUAAUUCUGUUGGUAAAAGAUUUGAGCAUCAAACUUAAGCAUUACUGAUAUAAUAACUUCCAACCUUCUGUAGUGCUUAUAAAAACAAUCUCAUCAGUGAAAACACAGAUCAGAAUAACUCAUGUAGAAUAGAAAUGUGUCUCACCUUGAAUUGGUCACUGGUCAUCUCAUAAAGUUUACUUUCAAACAUCUGGAGAAAUGAUUCAACUCUCAGAUCAAUAUACUUCGGACCCUGUUAAAUUGACAGAGCACUUGAGGCAAAGCGACAAUAACGCUGUCAAUGUGCAUAUUCAAAGAACAAAACUAUGCUAUAACCUUUACUGAGGAUUGAAUGAUGAACUGCACUCCAUGGAUACCAAAAUCAUUCCUACAUCAAGUAGAUAGCUAAGUUUAAAGCAAAUAUUCCAAGCUGAAGGAGAACUAGGGACCUCAAGUUAUGUACCUCCGCCGGAGUGCUGUAAUGUACCCAAGUUGCUCAACGGUUCUAAGCUGGUGGAAAGCUGGUUGUUUUGCAAUAAGAUUAAGAAGCUGAAGUGCCACAUUCAUGAAGAAAUCAUCUCGAUGAACCUGAACAACUCAACAUGACAUGACAUCAGAAUCGCAUCAGACCCCCCACAGAAACAAUUGGUCCGGUCAAAUAGAGAUCAAGAAACAUGUAAAAGAUUUUGUUUGACUCGUACAUCUAUUAUCCCUGUUGCAUGGGUACCAAUAACCUACAUUUCAGAAUCCAUACCAGUCUGUCCCAAAACCAUAUAAUUCUAAAGCAACAAAACAAUAUUAACUCCAUGAAUCAAGGAAUGCUCGAGGAAAACCAAUGUCGCUUAGCACAAGAUAUAUAUUUUCAAGAAAUUGGACAGAAAACUAUUUCUUCAGAGCUUAAGUUCAGAGCCUCAUCAACAUGCAUAAAGAACCGUUGGAUGACAUGUAAUUCACUUAAAGUUAUGGCAAAAGCAACAUAUAAAUAGAUCUCAUCACAGUUUGUGCUGUCUGAAAGUAAUGGCAGACAUCAACACAUAAAUAAUAUACACUGUACGUUUGUCUUAAAAGUAAUGGCGAAAACAUUACCAUAAUUAUUCCUUAAUCACAGUUUGUUUAGUAGUUUAGGGUCUUAGCUGAAUAACCUAAUCAUAUGGACAGUAAAGAGGCAAACCAUUGUUCAUCAAGAAAUGACGGCCCAAACAAAGCCAUUUUAAAGCAAAAACCGCCCUACAUCAUGUGCGGGGGUCAAUUUACCGUGAAAAGAAGGAAAAAGGCUCAACUACUUACUAAUCUCUUUUUUUCUGCUUUUUAGCGCCGCCCCCCCACCCAACAAAAACAAAGGGUAACAACUUGGCAGAAAAUAUUCGUUGUAACAAAUAUCAGUAUUUCAUUCCCUUUUCAUGAAAAUAUCGAAAAUUUGAAAUCAAUGCCUCCAACUACGAUACAGCAAUGGGAAGAAAGAAUACACUAGUGAUAAACAUGUGUCCCAAUAACAAUUAGAAUACUGCUCAAGAUUUUAUCCUCUCCCCAAAAAGAUACUUUCAAAGCUUUUCAAGUAUUAGAAGGGAUAAGAAAUGCAUGCAGAAUACCAGCUGCUUAAUUUUACAAGGAGUAUAGACGCAGCAUAGAACACGUAUAUCAGCAGCCAAAGCACUUAAUUAAAUAAUUAUUUUCCUUUUUUUUUUUUCUAAAAAAAAUUCUUGUACCUGAAUAUAAUGGACUAGGCAAGAAUUUUCAUCACUAGGAUUCAGGCCUUGGUUGGAGUACACAUAAUUCUUGCCCUUUUCAAGUUUAACAACUCUAUUAGUCAAAUGCUGGGAUGGGAACAAUGGUUGGCAUAUUGGGUUUGAGCCCUUAAAGAAAACAUCUUCAAUGUACUGGAUAAUCGAUCCUGCUUCAUUAGAUUCAAUGUUUCCUGAGAACAAAUGAAAGUAAUGAGAUCAUAAAUGGAAACAAAAAGGAACGACCGAAAUCUCAAACAAUGCCAUUAAAAAAUUGAAACAGAAGGACCUGCUAUGUAACAUUCCAAGAAGGUCCUAGAGAGCAUCAUGGGUACAAAUUUAGCAAGAUCUUCAGCUUCAAGAUGAGGAAGAACUUCAAGUUCUUCCGUCCAAGGCCACGUUUGAUCCUGAAGUAUUAGAGAGCAGUAGUACAUAGCCAGUUGAUAUGGCUGUAGAAACUUAUUAUUAUGGUAUUCUUUUGUCACCAUUUCCUGCAAAUAAAUAAAGGGAAUGAAAAACUUUAUUCAUACAUGAACAGCUUGGGUUCAUAACAGACUCACCAAGGGAAGCAACAUGAUAAUGGUUCCAUACAGUGUAAAUGGGGAUUGUUAAGUCAAAAGUUCAACCAGUUGAGGAGUCGCUCACAGAACCAUCAAAUGCAAGUUCCGGAAGAACUAAAAAAUGGUGCUAAAACAUUUUUAGAAACAGCUUAUACACUUUAAUAAUCAAUUUAUACAUCUUUCUAAACAGAGUAGGAUAUAUAAACAAAAAUAUAUUUUUUACCCUUAAUAUUUUAGUAUGCCCCUACCACAGUGAAGAUCCACUUCUGGGGGCUUGUGGUUGCUUAUGCAUGUGCAUCCACAUGAAUGGAAUCCAGGUGUAAAAGAUGAAAGAAAAAGAUACAAUGCAUGCCCACACCCAGAUGCACACCCCUAAAGCCUUCAUGCUGAAAAGCCAUGUUACUGAUUUGGAGCUCAAAACAACCAAAGCUAUGCAGGCUUUGGAACAGCACAACCAAAGAAAAUUAUUGUAAGCUCCCAAUUAUAAACAAAUAAUACUAGUACUUUGAUUCAGUUAGAUGUUUAAGAUUAUAAAAGAAAAUAACGUUCAACGUCAAACAGGUCAAAUAUUUUAAGCCUAAAUCAUUACCUUAAUCACAGAAAACCUGUCAGGUUGGACUUUGAAUUGUGCAAUUUUUUGAAAAAUAGUUUCCAGCAAGAUCCUCAAUUUGUGAUUAUAUCCAACCACUGUAACCUGUAGAAGCAAAAACCAUAAAAUCAACACAUAAAAAUACAUACCAACAUGAGAUAAAUAUCAAAGACAAGUGAAAAAAAAUACCUCAAAACCACCCUCAGUGUGGUUUAUCCCAUAAUAAAGCCCAGCAACCUCAGCAUAGUAAGCUGAUACAUAAAGAUAUGAUGGGUAAGGAAAAAAUUUAAUUUUAUUCACAAAUACAGAAAUUAUGUAAAUUGUAGAAGUUAUGCUCUAUACCAGAAACAUAAGAAUUUUAUCAAAAUGAAAGAGAAGAUGAUAUGGAAGUGAACCAGAGGUUCACAGGGGAAACAAAGACAGCCCAAAAAAAGCUACCUACUAACCAUAUAGAACAGACGCAUAUCUAUACCUCAAACAGCAUGCAAAUCCCAAAAUUUACUAAAAUGUGAAAAAAGCCCAAUCAAACAAAAUCAACACAUGACCUCUCUCAACUCAACUAAACCUAAAUAAAGGGAUCAGGUAUGGGAAGCCCUUUGGAAAUAAUCUGUUCCUUCAAUGAAAUUUUAGUAUGUGGAACUCUAGUUUACCUUGGAAAUCUUUCCCCCUUUAUUUAUUCUAUAAAAGUUUGUCUGUUUCCAAAUAAAAUGAAUGAAAACAAUAGUUAAAAGAAAAGGAAUAGUCAUUUGUCCAAUCCUACAUCAACAUCCUACAACAUUUAUCCAGCAUCUUACCAUAUUCAUUCAAAUAGUCAUGUAACAACCGUGUGAAAAUAUCAGUCAGAACUUCAGAUUCAGGAGAGCUGCUAGCAUGGGGGCAGUUGAAAUAAAUAUUAACAAAUGCCUUGGGUGUAGAGAACAUUGUGUCAGGCUUGUACCACAAUGUUGAAUAGGAUGACUUUCUCAACAGAACUGGGAAUUUGGCCUGUUACAAAGACCAAUUGCAUGAGAACAAUUGCUUUAAAGAGAACACAUCAUAAUAAAUUUUACUGUAAAGAUGGGGAAAAAAAAAUCCUCAGACCUCUUGUGUAUCCUUAAGAGACAAGUCAGUGGGGACGAAGACAUUAGGAGCUGGGAGAUGCAGAUUUUCCUUAGGAGCAGACAGUAUCCAGUCCUGGAAACAAAUAAAGAUUUUGAAGACUCAUCAAUUCCUUCCUUCAAGCUGCUCUAAUCACCAAAAUUUAUUUAGCUGCUUCCACUGAAUGUGGGACAAGAUAAAUAGCAUACACUCCAAUCUAAUAUGAACUUUUCCCUCUUGGAAAUCAUAUCCAUGAACCAAAAGAGAAACCCUGCAACCUUACCCUCCAUCUCAUUCUAAUAGCCAUUUGCCUCCAGGGACAUUGACAACUGUUAUUAUUACUAGAAUAAUGAAUCAUAUCAUAUUUAAAAUCAAACAACGAACCUGAAUUAUGGACUCAUUGAUGUUCUCAACGGAAUAAGCAGUACCAUACCAAGGCUCAACCAUCUCUGUUUUCCCCUCAAAUUGCUUUGACUCCCAAAAAAUUCUGAUAAACAGAGAGCUUAUUAGAAAGCAGACAAUCUGUCAAUCACAAUAGUCUGACUUUGAUUGAAAGAUGGAGACAGCCAAUUGUACAUAAAUUAUCAGACACAAACAUGUCCUUGAGCAUUACUACCAACAAGCAGAAAGAUGCAAGUAAUUAGUCUUGAAAACAAAGUAUCAAAUCCGAAACUGCUAAACCAAGUCAUUGGCAAUACAAUGAUAUCGAAAUGUUUCCCUUUACUUUUAAACAUAAAGCAAUGGGAAGCAAACACUUAGUUAUAUUACAGCAGAUAAUGGAAACAAGCAGAUAAGGCUUCGCAUGCACAUGAAAUACCUUAAAGCCAGACAAAAUUAUUUUACAAGAAAAAGAACUUAUCUGAUAGCAAGAAGAAUGGGAAUGAUAAAAAUCAAACAUCAUCCAGCCAUAGAAGUUCAACGAUAAGUCAAAUGCUUAAAUGAAGUUUAGAUAACUUGUACCAGAAUCAGGUACCAUGUCCAACAAAAUAGUGAACUAAAGUUAAAUUUUUUAACAAUCAAAUCAGAACAGAUGUUAUAUACAAAGUUCAAAUAAUGGAAAUAUGUGCGUCAAUCUUCAUAUGCACUGAGUCAAACACUCUCUAAGCGCUUACAAACUUACCUAACAGUUUUUGGAGAAAGCUCCUUCAAAGUCAUUUGAAUAAUCUCUGGAUUGAAAUUGGAAGGCAAUGAUUCACCCACUAGCCAGUCUUGAGGAGGAUAUGUCUGAAAAAUAAUUUCAAGGCAUCAUUUACUAACAGAAAAAACAGUAAUAAUUGACUCAUUCACAAUCAAAAAUAAACUGCAAAAGAAAGAUGUCAAUCAGCUACCAGUUCAUGAUUCACAAGCCCAAAUAAUCCUUAAAAUGUAGAAAAAAUAAAAGAAAGCCAAAUUUGUAAACUGUCUAUAAGAAUAGCACAAAGAUUACUUCUUGCAAAAAGCUGUUGGGAAUCUAAAAAUAGAGGUCCAGGAUUCAAAAACAACGGUAGAACAAGAUUAUUAAUCCACUCACCAUAUCCACUUAUUCUAUAUCUAACAUUAAACAAAAACACCUUUAUGUGCAAGGGAAUGAGACAAUGAGGCAGGCAAGAUAACCAUAUUUUUCGUUCAAUCAAUCAUCGGAUAAAGGUAUUUUCUAGUGUUUCAAGUGGUGUUAGAAGCUAUGCCUCACAAUCAGUUCCUCAAGCUAUACUCCUACACUAUUCCAAUUAUUUUAAACAAUGUAAUAAAACUGGAUAUUUCGUUCAACCCAGGAGGAUUAACUUUACAAAAUGGAAAAGAACAUAUACCUCCAUAUUGGCAGCAACAGUAACCACAUAGUCAAUCGGGGGGACUUUAUCCUGAUAAUGAAAUGUCACCUCACAAACAGCUGAAAGCUUCAUAAGAUAAAUAAAAUGUCAGAAUGUUGAAGACUAGAUAGGCUGAAAACAAGACAGGCAACCUUCCAGAUGCAAAUUCAAUAAAUAGUAAACAAUUGAGGUACUGACAAGGAGAGAGUCGAUUAUCCUUCAAGCAAGACUACAGUAUGACAAAACUUUUUAAAUAUUAUGAAAGACGGAAAAUGCAUGAUAAUAAUACAAAGCCAGACUCAUUGAUGUGUUGGACUGCUGUCAUGAACUUUCCUUCCUUUCAGAUUGCAUGAAAGUAUAAAAGGAAGAAAAACUAGAGGGCAAUAAAUUUGAUGCAAUGUUUUUUCCUUUACACCGAGUAAAAACUAUUCUCAAACCUUCAGUGGAUAUACUGUGGAUGGCUAUACUCAAAUCUCUGGUGGUCAGCAGAACUAUAUCUUAAAAGCAUCCGUUAAGAUACAUCAUCUACAAGAACAUAUUCUUCCUGUUUCAACUAUAAUCCUGAAACUUAACAAUAGCAUGCAAGUAACGUUUGAAUAGCAACUAUCAUAGUUGCACCUUUUCACAUUUCUACAUUACAAUGAGGAGUCAUUAUCCAAAAGACCAACUUUUCCAACAGCAUCGUAAGAACAAACUAUCGAACAAUAAUAGUAUCUCGCAACUAAAAAGUAAUGCCAUUAGCAGAGUCAAAUAACCUCUUGUUUCUGACAACAAAAUAAUAGUAGUAGUAGAAAUAAGAAGCAAAGUAGAUACUGAGCUAACAGCCAAACCCCAACAUUCUCUGGUAGAAAAUUUAAUGCAAAUCAAUCAUCCUACCACUAUGCUCUUCAACAGAAGCAUCCUACAAAGAGGCAAGACUGCACGAAUGCAAGCAACACGCAACUAACAAUAAUACUAUGCAACAGUAGCAAUUAACAAGAUGCGUCAUCAUACCUCAUCAAAUAUCCAUUUGCUAGCACCAGACUGCUGUAAAAGGUUUAUGUAUUUAAAUAACAACCCCACAACAUCUUGCAUGUGCUCUGCUAGUCAAUCAAGGGGGGAAAAAUUUUUAACCCAAAAGAUCUACAAAUUGAAGUUAUUUGCAUAUUCUAGCAGAACAAAGUAAAUCAAUUGAUUAUAAUGAAUCACAUUCAAUUAAAUGCAGUGUGAGAUACAACUGCAUUACCAUGACCAGAAUCAGUAAGAUCAACUGUAACUUCAAAGAAUGAAUAGUCCAAAGUCCAAUCUCCUUCAUCUGCAGCCAAUGAUGUAGCCCAUCCUGCAAAAAUUUAUUUCAAAAAGAGGUGACUGGUCAGUUGGCCUUUCAAAGGUGAAAAAUUUUGGUGUGGAUAACCAAAGACCCUGAGCUAGUGUCAUCAAAUUCCACUUUGAUCUUUAUACACAAAACAAACACAGACAUUAUCAACCAGAACAUACAUGUGCUUAUAUCAAGACUUCUUCCCACCCUGAAACUUGUGCUUAUAUCAAGACUUAUAUCAAGACAAAUUGUACAGAUUUCAGUGGACGUUAACCCAAGUCAUCAACAAUCCAGCCAUGAAAUGAGGAUCAGAGAGUGCUUCAUCCCCAAUAAGCUGUUUGCAUCAAGCAGUGAUUCUUAAAAUUCUAGAGGAAAAUCAGUCCCUCAAGAAAGCAUAACAUGCAGUAGCUUUGUAAAUUGUUUCUAACAUCCACACAAUGGAAAUAUGACAGAGUAGGCAUUGAAUACUUGUUGGGGGGGGACAAUGAGAAAUACACUGUAGUGAAAAUCUAAACAGAACCAUUUGUCUCCUAAGAUCUUAAAAAAAUUGAAAAUAUCAUUGUUUUAUGUAUUUUACUAUUCAAAUUCACAAAAACAAUUCAUUCUGAACUAGUAAAGAAGAAGCAUCUCAAGCCUAAACAUGUAGGAACACAAAUUAUGGACACUGAAACUUGGUUAAGUUUUCAAAUAAAAAAAAAGUUUCAGGAUGCAACCGAAAGCUGCAAGUAAAUUGAGAAUCAGAAAUAUAAAGGAUAAGCAGAACCUACCCAAUGUUUUCAAGAUGUAAAACAAUGAUCCCUCUGAUUCAUGCCCAAUAAGAUGACUGAUAUAUCUGCCUGGUGCUUCCUUGUAGUGACGAAUGCUUGGAGUUAUUGGCCAUCCAAUUCUUAGUUUGUGACCUUGUCUAAUUGGAACAGCUCUAACAAGAAUCUGAAGCAAAAAAUAUAAACUAGGAAAAUUUGAAACAAAGAAAAAGUUCUUUCCUACUUUCUGCAGUGUCCCUUGAGACCCUUUGUCACCACAUAGAACUUGACCAUACCUGUAAAUGUUCUGAUGUGCAAGGCUGACCAGGAAAACGGAAACGAUUUCGAUCAGUGUUCCUAAUGUCCUGAAACUUAUUCUCCACUAGAACUUGAAUUUUAUCAACACUUUCUAGAAACAUCCAUCACAUAGGGUUGGUCAUUAUAUCUCAGAGUACUUCAGUCAAGGCCAAAAUACAGCAGGAAGAAUUAGUUCCUAACCUUUUGAAUACACAACCAGAUGCAUGAGGUUGGAAGAGUAAUGUUCAUUAUAAAACUUAAUGAGCUCAUGCCUUGUGGUCAAUCCUUUCGCUCUUGGUCGAACUUCCAAAGUUUCCCAGUUACCUAAACAUCAACAAGUAUUUGAUAUAAACGUCUAUCUCGUUGAAACACAAUAUGCAGAAACUAGAGCGAAAAGGUGAAAGGAAAAAGAAAUUGUGAACACAAUGAAUUGUAGACAUCGACAGAACAACUUGGAAAUACUUAAAUCAUUUUUUCAUAAGACUCUGAAAAAUUACUAAAAUGAAGAAAAUGAUAAAUGGAAAAGUAUAACAGAAUGUAACACUUUGUAAUAAAGAACGGAGAGAGAGUCAAGUAAGUUGCUGACCGGUGCUAAACUUAUGAUAUGGAUGAUCUUCUGAACUUAGAUGUUUCCAGAGCUGUACAAAUUAAAAAAAAAAAAAACAUAAAGGUAGUCAUUUCUCACAGAAACACUACUAAAACGACUACUAUGGUAAAAAGAUAUAACACCUUAUUCAUUAUUAACUUGCUGGAGCUCAAAUACAAUCGUCAGGACCAGCUUUAUAAUUUAUGCUUUUAAGCCAAACAAAAAAUUAAUAUGAUAUCAACAUUAAUUUGACCAAGAGGUCUUAUAUUUGAAACCUCCCAUAUAAUUGCAUUCAGAUUUGUAUUUGCAUUUGCAGUAUCAUCUGCAUCUGAGUUAGUUUCUAUUUGAGCUUAAUCCACAUGACAAGGCUGUUAAUAAAAUUCAGAGGGUCUGUUAAUACUACAGUUGAUAAAAUCCAGAUGGCCUGUUAAUGCUAUAGUUGACUAAUCUAUUAGCAUAAGCUUUUAGGUCGAUUGAUGAUGAUGCUAAUUGUUAAAAGCAAUAAUGAUGACAACAUCAAUUAAGAUAAAUUACUUUCUUAUUUCUCAUUAAAAAGGGGGAAAAAGAAGAAGAACAACAACAAAAACAAGAUCCUAGCUUAGUAAAAUCUAUUGGUACCAAUGCAAAGAUCUAGAUGAAAUCUUUUCUUCUCCAAUUAAGUUUCAAAGGUUGUAAAACAGGCCUUCGAAAAUAUACGAAUUCUACAAAAUUUGAUCUAAAUUAAUGUGGGACCUAUAUAUAAAUUUGAUACUUGGCAAUAAUUUCCAUUUAGCCUUAUUUCAAUGUUACGCUUAACAACAGAAAUCCAAUCACUGGGCAUUAUUUUAGCUUGUUCAUAUUUUAGGAGUUAAUAUCUAGGUUUGAUUGAAUAGGCUUCACAACAGAACAUGAGUCCUUCUCUAUUAUAACUGUCCUGAUUGGCUUUUGCAUGAGGUCCUCUGUGGUUUUUUUCUUUUUGGGGCCACAUCUUUAGUAUUUGCAGUUUCCUAUUUAGAAUUUCAACCCUUUAGCGAAUUCAGCAAAACUGGCAAGUCUCAUACAUUCCAGCCAAACGCUUUUAAAUGAAGAUCAGUUGCACUCCUUAGAAUCAUGUGAUAUAAGCGUAUGGGAAAAAAUUGACGCUGAGGCACUAUACAUUACAUGUGAUGAAUACAUCUAUUUAUUCCUCCUUCUUGGAUUACUGUUCACAACCAAGUAAAGCAGCUCAUGGAACACUGUCUUAACCUGAUAUUUUGGUCUCAAAUGCUACUCUGAUCCAUAUCCUUUCAAAAUUCAAAAUCUCACAUAAUUUCAACUCCUAAGCCACCCUUGUACCAUAAUAUCGGCACCUAACAAAAAAGAGGACCUGCACUCCUUUUAACAGAUACAAGCAAUAAGCACUUCACAUGCCAAUUUCCAUUAUCAAGUAAAGCCCUAUUUUUUUCUAUUUAUACGUAACAAAUUUAUAACAAAAGCAGUACCAAAAAUGUGGAGCAACUGUGGUACAUGGGAAAUAUAUAAGAAACACCGGAAACAUAACCAAACAAAAGCAUAGUGUUUAAGAUCUCUAAAAAUUCCAAAAAAGGACGAGUGAAAAUGAUUUUUUGGAAGAUGAGUACAACAUAAAGACCCCAAACCAAGCUAAGUCCAUUACCAUUCAUCCAUUUUUCAACUAAUCAACACUGCUAAAAUUUUCUUGAACCUAGAACACUAAGCUAUGAAGAAUGACAGACCAUAUUCCAUAGAUCACCAAUCAAAAGGCAUUGUAAGAGAAGAAGACCUAUACAAUCCCCAAUACCCUUGUGCCAUAAAACACCAACUUAUAAUAAUUUAUUUCUUCUUACCAAAUUUUAUUGUGUUACGAGUUCAACCAAGGAAUAUCAAUUUUAGCAAAUUAUAUCUCAAUCUAUUCAAAUAAUGGCCAAAGGUCAGAUGUCUGUGCAUGUUCAGGUUUUUUUUCAGUUCAAUGGAGCACUUCUUAUACCAAAGAACAUAGGAUAGCAACCAGAAAAAAGGGAAAAAAAAAAAAAGACACACAAGUUGCAGCAAUAAAAUAAAGCUUUAUGAAGGAGAACUUUCACUUCAAAACUGAUACUCAGGCUCAGCAAUGGAGUCCAAGAUCUCUUGUGAAUGAUAACAAAUGAUAAUGAUAUAACUUAGAAAAUAGAAACCCAAGGAAAAAUCAUCUCCAAAUAUUAAAUUAAUGGAAGUAAGCAACACCUGGUUUAUUCUCCAAACAUCAGACAACAAGUUUUUCUGGUUCUCUGGAUACAAGCGAGGGAGGAGGAAGGAAAGCAGAACUGAAUUAAUGAUAAUGAAACAUGAUUCUGAAAGUACAUUAACGUGCUAGACUCUACAAUAAACAACUAACCAGAAUGAACUGCUUUAAUCUCCCUAAUCGUAGCAUCAGCUGACAUCAACGGCUUAAUAAAGAACUGUGCAAAUCUGUGCAGUAAAUCACAGGAAAGACUCAGACUCAAAAACUCAAGUACUGAAAGAUAUGAUACUUAAGAAAAAUGAAAAAUGGCACGUACCUGUCCAAAGCUUCUUCAAAGGAGUCAGGGUUUACAUCAAAGUAGUAGUUUGUAUGCUCAGAAGAUGUAAACGCAUUUGCCAUUCCUCCAUGCUGUGCAUAAGAAAAUUAAUCCGCGGCAAAAAUCAGAACAGCACCUUACUUGUCGUACUUACAGGAUUAAUCAAGAAAUAAAACAAAGAGCAGUUUGUAUUUAUCACUUGAUCACACAACCUAAAAUGUAUGUGCUCAAGUGUGUAAUGACACCGAAGUUUCUACCCCAAAAGAAUUCCCAAGAUAAUCCUUAAAAGAGAACAAAAAGUGCACCCUCCAAACAGACACAGCAAGGAACAUACCAGUGAUACCACCCAUACGCAGGGGGCCAAAUUAAAAAGGAAAUGAUCAAUCUCUGGAGCGAACCAGAUUUCUAUAAAUAAUGCAAAUAAAGCUCAAGACAGGGAAGCAAAACUACAUGAAAGACAUACUUCAGUACUUCUGCUACCAAAAUAUGAAUGCGCCAAUCAAAACAGGACACCUUUACCAAGGACCUAGGUAGGAGGUAUUCCUUUAUCCCGUAAAGAAGAUUACAGGCCAUAAUAAUCACCCACAAACCAUCUUUCCUACAAGGUCACUCGAGUUGCUUCCCCAAUAUAUUAUAUAUCAAAAUUAAAAAUAAAAAAAAAUUUCAGACUCCAGAUUCCUCUUCACAUUUCUCAAACUGUAUUUAAGAUCAACGUUAACCAUAAACAAUACCAAACCACCACCCAAUGACUCUACUAGAAAACAUAAGCAAAGAUAGGAUGUGGAAUCACAACUAGUCUUAGGAUGAAUGCGCCAAUCAAAACAGGACACCUGUACCAAGGACCUAGGUAGGAGGUAUUCCUUUAUCCCGUAAAGAAGAUUGGAGUGCCAUAAUAAUCACCCACAAACCAUCUUUCCUACAAGGUCUCUAGAGUUGCUUCCCCAAUAUAUUAUAUAUCAAAAUUAAAAAUAAAAACAAAUUUCAGACUCCGGAUUCCUCUUCACAUUUCUCAAACUGUAUUUAAGAUCAACGUUAACCGUAAAUAAUACCAAACCACCACCCAAUGACUCUACUAGAAGACAUAAGCAAAGAUAGGAUGUGGAAUCACAACUAGUCUUAGGAUGUGCUUCAACAACCCGUAGUAAGGCUGUGGUCAUUAUUCACUAUUGCAAUAUUAUCUAAAUCGUCACCCUGACACUAUGCAAGAUCAGUAACCUAAAGACAUAAAAUCUAAAGUAAAAAGGAAAUUUCUGGCACAAGUUGUCUCAAGUAUCAAAAGACAGCUUGAGAGGAUCAUGUUCACAAUGUAAUUCAUAAUUUUUCACUCCAGCAUACAUCAGUCAAUGCAUGGAAAGUCCACAGCAUCACUUAGAACGGUAAGAAUACAUAUUGACAAUUAAAGUAUUUUUUUCGACAACAUUAACAAACAUUAUCAAAUCAUAUCACAAGAAAUUGAUAGACCACCGUGCCAGCGAACUUUCUAAACCCUUGUUGAAUAAACUGACUACAUCUAAAUCCAAUCCGGUUAUGGGUCAGCUCCACAGAGAAAAGAACAUAAAUGGAGUCAUCACCCCAUUCCACAAUAGAACAAUCCAUGGCUGUAAAUUUAAACAAGAAUACCUUUUCCACUUCCAAUCACUAAGAUACAAUCUGACCGCAAUGGCUUGCAGGAAAAUAGAGGAAUGUAAUUAAAACUAAAACUCCCAUCAGCCCUACAAAUCAAGUGAAGAAUUUGCUUCAGGAUUUUGUUUUUAGCAAACACCUGAUUAACAAAAAAGUUAAGAUUUUCCUCUGGAGGGAAAAUGUGUCUUUUUAGUCAGUUAUAUUCCAAGGGAAUAGCAUUCAAAAUUUUUUUCCUUGUCUGUGUAUCUCGCCAACUCCAUCCACUUCUAGUUAAAGUCUAUUAUUAGUAUCAAAGAGCAAGAUUAAGCAUAAAGCAUGAUUCUCUGAAACUUUUACUUAAGAAAACAUACUAGAAAUAAGUGAAACAGGACAUUAUUGAGGGCCAAUACCUCUGAUAUGUACUUUAAAUAGCUAUCCUCCACUGGAUAUUUCUCACUAGCAUAAAACAGCAUAUGCUCUGCACAUUAAAGAAACAGGAAAACAGUAACUAAAGCAAGUUAUAAAUACUCGAACUCAUUAAACAGGCCACAGAAUUUGUCCCCUACAGCCAUAUAAUUAUCUAACUACAGCUAAAAGCAAUAAUAAUGUAGAAUAGGAGAGUAAAAGAAUCAUCCAAUGAAUCACCACACAACAGAAUUCAAAAAAAAAAAAAUAUCAAUGACAAUAGCAAACAGUGAAAAGGGAAAAGAAAGUAGGCAAAUUAGGAAGAGAUGAAAGAACCGAGAAUGAAACAAUGCUAUAACUUUAACAGGAAAUAAACAAGCCUGAACACACAAUGAAGAAAUACUUGAACCAAAAAGAAAGUACAAGUGAAACUUCUAAUUCUGUUUAACUCUGUCUACUCUAAUUUCAAUAUGAGCAACACAUUGUAUUUUAAUCUGUGAUCAUCCGAAAACACGUUUAGAGUCAUCUCACACAAACCCAUCCCCAUUUUUUUUUUAAGUAACUUUUACAAUUUACAUUCAUACAAGACUAAAAUUCCCCAAAUCAAGAAUUCAAAUUUGCCACAAGAUACAUUAAAUAUACCGAGAAAAUGGGCAAGGCCCUCGAGACCAACAGGGUCACAAAAGGCGCCAACGCUGACAUUCAUCGAAGCAGCACACUGAAGCAAAAACAAUAAAACAAACCAAACCCACAAGAUUACUAGCUUAAAUUAAACUGAAAAAUAAAAUUUUAAAAAUUUGGGUCUUGCUGGUUACCUUAUCGGCAUCAGGAUCGCUGAUCAAAAGGACUUGAAGAGAGUUUUUAAGGACGAGUCUCCGGUACUGUCUCUUGUCCGUACGUGGCUUUAUAAUCUCUACAUCAUCUUUACCGACAGCCAUUUUUUCAGUCUCUUGCAGAAGAGAGAAACAAUCGUUUUGGCUUUAUAGGGAUCCACAAGUGAAAUGACCGAGACCAAGACUUUAUUUUUUAUUUUUUUAUAAAAAGACCAAGACGUUUUUGCUCGAGUCUCCUGCGCUUUUGUGUUGUGGCUGUCACGGAUAUUUGCUUCCUCAAUAAAUAUGUGACAAAUUUCACAAACCUGCCUUAAAGAGCGUUAGGUAUUGACUUACUUUGACCAAAACGACGUUAUUAGUUAUGUGGUUGUAAGAGAAUCUUUUAUACACUUAAAAAAAAAUAAUAAUAAUAAUAAGAAAAAGAGAAUCUUUUGUACAACACUAGUGUCUGGGUCGAUCGCGAUCGAUACUGCAUGAAUGCAAAACAUUCGAUAAACGUAAUGAAGAGAGAGGCUUUACUUCGUCUGACAUGACUUCAAACUAAUUGACAACUUAAAAUUAUCAAACUAUUAUUGCAAAAAAAAAAAAAACAUAUAAUACUGCAAGUUCGAAUGUAAUUUUUAAGAGUCAUCUUACAGUGCAGCGCUGUAUCUUAUACAGCCGCUGCCAAAAACUAGAACAACCGGUAUUUUACCGGUUGUUCAUUAAAUAAUUUUUAAAAUUUGUUUUUAAUGCUUAAAAAAAUAUAGUAAAAUGAAAAAAAAUGUAUGAAAAAUUUAAAUCUGAAACAUAAAAAAUCAAUUAAAUGAGAAAAAUAUUUUAAAUUUUUUUAACAUAAAUAAAUGUUAAGAAAUUAUAAAAAUAAUUAUAUUUCAAUUUUUUUGGCUAAAUACCAAUUUAAUGGGUGGAUGUUCAAGUUUAUUUUGUAUGUCUCUAAUUUCGGUUAGUCUUUUUCAUUUAUUGGUUCAUUUAUUUCAAUUUUUCAACCACUAGUUUUGUGUUUAAUGUUCCAACUAAAUUAAUUAAAUACCAAUAUUUUGGGGUAAAUUACAAGUAAAUUUUAGUUCUCGUAGGAUGAGUUCCUAAUUUUAGUUAAGCUUUCUCUCUUAUUGGUAUAAGGGUUUCAGCUAAUAAUUUCACUAGCUUUGUGUUGAAUGUUCCCAUUAUCGAGGUAAGAUUUCAAUUAUUUGAGUUAAGUACCAAAUUACUUUGUAGCGUUUAAUUUUUGGUUGGAUUUGUAUCAAAUUUUGGUUAAACUUUCUCAAUUUAAGGUUAAUAUAUUUCAACUUUUCAAUCCAUUAGUUUUGUGUUUAUUCUUCCUACUAAAAUUGUUAAAAAUCAAUAUUUUGGGUUAAAUUCCAAGUAAAUUUUAUUUCUCGUCGGAAUAAUUCCUUAUUUUGGUUAAACUUUCUCCAUUAUGGGUUCAUAUAUUUCAACUAAUAAUUUCAGUGAUUUUGUGUUGAAUCUUACUAUUAUCGCGGUAAGAUUUCAAUAAUUUGGGUUAGAUACCGAUUUUACUUUGUAAAUUUUUAUUUUUGGUUCUAUUGGUUCCUGAUUUGGUUAAUCUUUCUCAACUAUAGCCUUAUAUGUUUUAACUUUUCAAUCCACUAGUUUUGUGUUUAGUAUUCCUACUAAAAUCGUUAAAAACCAAUAUUUUGGGUUAAAUUCCAAGUAUAUAUUAUAUCUCAUUGGAUAAUUUUCAUGAUUUUGGUUAAAUUUUCUCUCAUACAGGUUCAUUUAUUUCAACUAAUAAUUCCACUAGUUUUAUGUUGAGUGUUCCUAUUAUCUAGUUAAGAUUCCAAUAAUUUGGGUUAAAUAUUAAAUACACUUUGUAAGAUUUUAUUUUUGGUUGGACUAAUCCCUAAUUUUGGUUAAUCUUUCUCAAUUAUAGGUUAAUAUAUUUCAACUUUUCAAUCCAUGAGUUUUGUGUUUAAUAUUUCUAUUAAAUUCGUUAAGUAACAAUAUUUUGGGUUAAAUUAUAAAUAAAUUUCAUUUCUCGUUAGACUAAUCCCUACUUUUGGUUAAACUUUCUCCUUUAUUGGUAUAUGAGUUUCAACUAAUAAUUUCACUAGUAUUGUGUUCAAUAUUCCGAUUAUUUAUGUAAGAUUUUAAUAAAUUGGGUUAGAUACCAAAUUUACUUUUUAGAUUUUAUAUAUGGUUAGAUAAGUUCCAUAUUUUGGUUAAACUUUCUCACUUAUGGGUUCAAUUACUUCAAUUAAUUAGUUCACUAAUUUUUUGUUUCAAGUUCUCAGUGCCUACGUUAUGUUUCAACAUUAUUGGUUAAAUUCCAAGUUGAUAUUAUAAAAUUCAAAGUUACCUUUAUUACGAAAAGCAAAUAAUAUUAUUAAGGUGAAUCUCAUUUUACUCCUCUUAUUUCAGUAAAUAUCAACUUACAACAAUAUAUUAAAAUUUCACUAUUGUAACCCCUAUUCAAUUUUCUAUAAACUACAAUCAACAUUGUAAGUUAAAAGAUUAGGAACUUAUCUAAUCUAAUUAUGUUGGAACAUUUUAUUUUUCUUUUUAAUCUUCUUGACUUCAUGAGAUUUCUUAAACUCAACUUAUUUAAACUUGAGCUUUUUAUCAUUAUAGAUAUGCCUAUUUUAUUAUUUCAAAUUAAUUGUACUCAUUUUCUUUCCAAAAUAAAUUCUUUGAUAUCUCAUGACUUCAGCCAAAAUUUCAUUUUUAACAAUUGCAUAUGCAAUUUGUACAGCUCAAAUUUUUAUUUUUCAAAUGUUUAAGAUAAAACAAAUUAUUUAUUUAUUAAUUUAUUAUAUGAUUAUCACAGGAAUAAUGAAAAUUAAUUUUUAUAUUCAAAUUUUAAGAUUUGCAAAUUAGAAUUUACUUUGAAUCCAAUUCAACUAAGUCACCAUUUAUUUAUCUUUAAUUAAUGCUUUAAGCAUAGUAAAUGCAUUUCAAAUUAAACAAUAUUUUGUAUAAAAAAAAUACAUUAGGAAAUUAAUGCAAUCAAGAAAAAAGAAAAUAUAUUAAAACAUUAAUUUUGCUUCCUCAAUUAAGUAUUAAAAGGAAAAUUUUCUCUUACAGAUAAAUUCAACCUUAUAAUUUAACAAUAAUGUUGACUACAAUUUUAAAACUAUUUAUUUAUUGCUCCAAAUUGCAAUAGUUUUUUAUGAGUCAUAAAAAUUAAAUUUAUUUAACAUUAUACUUAUAUAGUUGGAUACAUAAUUUAUACCUUAAUUGAUGUUGCCUUAUUUUCAAUUAUUAUAUUUUAGUGAUAGUUUAUUUCAUUGUAUACUAAUAGUGUUAUAAAUUUGUAAUAAUUGAUUAUACAUCAUAUUUUUCAUUGAUUACUACUCGAAUUAUAUAAUAUCUAUUUUAUAAGUGAGUAUUACUCAAAUUAAUAUAUUAUACUUUAAAAUUUUAAUUAUUAUACUUAAAUCAUAUAAUCACAUAUGCAAUUAAGCGUAAAUAAUGAAAAAGGUCACUUCCCAAGGUUUGGGGAAAUGAUCAUGUAGAUCCUUGAGUUUUUACUAAGAGACACUAAAACCCCUUUUAACUAUAAUGCUGUGGUUCAUUCUUAUAAAAAGAUCCAGUUGCCUCCACUGCAGACAUCUCUAGAGAAAAAAUCUAUUGCAACUUCCAAUUGGCAAUCCCCACUGCCAGGUUGUUUCAAAGUUAAUGUGGAUGCAUCAGUUGUGAUUGAGCAGAGAAGAGUUGGUCUGGGGGCUGUGGUUCGAGAUUCUAGAGGCAAAGUAAUAGCAGCAGCCAUGAAACCUUCUUGUUUCUAGCAGGAGGUAGCCUAUGCCGAAGCAGAAGCUGCAAGAUUCGGUGUUGAAAUUGCAAAAAAGGUGGGAUGUUGGCCUUUAAUCAUAGAAAUUGAUUCUGAGGAGGUUGUAGAUCUGGUUUUGAACAAGAAAAGCACAAGAACUGAACUUUAUUGGAUCAUAUCUGAUUUGCAAGCUUGUAUUAAGAGGCAACAACAAAUAUCAAUUCAAUAUACUCCAAGAGCCAGUAAUGUAAUAGCUCACAAUUUAGCUAGACUAGCUCUGGAGCAAUUUGACGUUGUACUUUGGGUGGAUAACAUUCCAGCCCGCCAUUUGUAUUUAUUCGCUUGUUAAAUGCAUUUAAAGGGAGCCCUUUUUAUCAAAAAAAAAAACUAUAAUGCUUUUUGACUUUAUUAAUUCAAAAAAAUUGACUCUAAAGUUUUAUAAUAAGUAGAAAUAUAAUAUUAAAAUAAAUGUAACAAUAUAUACAUUUUAAAUUAAUUAAUAUAUAAAAAAUAUUUUAGUACUUUACAAUCUUAUAUUAUAUUAAACUAAAAUUUUUUAAUAAAUAGGAACAUAAUAUUAAAAUAAAUAUUUAAAAAUUUAAAUUAUUUUCAAUAUUGUAUACAAAAUUUGAAUACUAUUAAUACAUGAGAUAUAUUUUAUUAAUAAUAAAAUCUAUUUAACCUAAAGAUUUAUUUAAAAUUUUUCUAACAAAUACAAAUAUAUAAUUAAAAUAAAUAUCAUAAUUUACAUUUUAAAAAAUAUUUUAUAUAUUAAAAAAUAUUUUAAUAUUAUUAAUUUAUUAGACAAAUUAAACUAUUUAAAUUAUAUUUGUACUUCUUAAAAAUCUAAAAGUCAAUUUUUUUGAAUCAAUAAAUCCAAAUUGUAUUAUAGUCAAAGGGGUCUUAGGGUCCCUCGGUGAAAACAUGGGGUUUUAUAUGAUCAUUUUUCCAAAUUUCGGGGGUGUAUGUAUCUUUUUCCCUAAAUUAUUUAAUUCUCAGUGUUGCACUAAAAUUAUAGUUUUCUAGUUACAUUGUUAAUUUAGUUAAGGGUACAAUACAAUGUCAAUCACAAUUAUUGUAAUAAUACCUAAAAAAUUAUGCUUGAUAUUAUUAAAAAUUUAAUUUUUAACAAAUUGUACCUUGUUGACUUGAUUGAGUGGUUUUCAAGCGGGGUUAAAAAAUAAAAUCAAAUUAUACACACUUUAGAAAAAUACAUUCAAUUGGACUAUAUAUAUACACAUUAUUAAAACUUUUAUUAUUAUAGAAAAUAAAAUCAUAUAGACUAUACAAGACAUUUCAUUAAAAAUAUAUAAUAUCGUAAAAAAUAUCAUAAGCUGAAUUUAGUUUAAUCAUAAUAAUAAUUACUAUAAUGACAGUUAUUAACAAUAUAAAAAAAACAAAGAUUAUCCUUUGUUGUUUAGAAAAAUGAAAAACCCUCUCAUGUUUUAAAAUAAAUUCAAAUCUCCUGCAACUCUAACUGUGUUAGCUUUAUAUAUCAUUGUAUUAUUUGACACAUAGUUUUGAUGUUAGCCAUAAAAUUUAAAUAUUUUUAGAGUAUAAAUAAAGUGAAAUGACUUAUAUAACUCUAAUGAUUAAAUAAAUUUAAUAAUAAAUUAUCGAGAAAAAUUACUUCACACACACACAUAUUGUGGAUAUAUAUAACCAAAUGCUAUUCCAAUUUAAAUGGAUAAUUUACAACUAUUAGGGAUAUUUUCCCCACUUGUAAUUUUUCUUUAUAAUUUACAAUUUAUUAUAAAAUAAAAUUUGAUCAUUAAGGAUAUAUAAGUUAUUUUAAUUAAUUUGUAUUUUCAAAAUAUUUAAAUUUUAUAGGUAACAGUAAGAUUAGGGGUAGAAUAGUAAAAUGAUAUAGAAAGCUNNNNNNNNNNNNNNNNNNNNNNNNNNNNNNNNNNNNNNNNNNNNNNNNNNNNNNNNNNNNNNNNNNNNNNNNNNNNNNNNNNNNNNNNNNNNNNNNNNNNAAUAUACUUAGUUUACACUAAUAUAAAUAUUAUUCUCACUAAUAUAGACAUUACAUGUUUCAAAGUAAUUUUUUCAGCCAUAAGAAAAUGCAAAUUUUUCAUGCUGAGGAGGGUGUCUUUGAAAUUUUCCUAAUUUAAAUUGAUAAUUUAGAUAUUUAGAUAAAAUUGGUUGUAGCUAUGUGAUAAUUACUACUGAUAUUUGCCAGUUCCCACUUCCAAUUCUUUCGUUCGGUAGCAGGUUUCAUGCGUAAAAAAUAAAAGCCGUUGGAUUGCUUAUAAAAGCAAUCCAACGGGGAAUAGGUUUCAAAAUAAAAAAUAAAAACGGCUGUAUGGCGUGCAGUGGCUGUAUUAUAAGCGGACCCAAUUUUUAAAUAGGUUUAUUUAACUAAUCAUUCAAGUUCAAAUUUUAGAGAGAGAAAUAAUAUUAUUAAAGAAGAAGAACAUACCAAGUUGUCAAUGAAAAGAACAGAGAGAGUAAAGAUAAACAUUAAAUUAGAGAAAAAAUUAUAAAAGAAAUUAAUUAUUCGUUUUAUCUAAUCUUCAGCUAGCUUCAUCCUUCUCUGAUUUGAAGGCAAAAAUUUUGUUUAAAUUUGUGGCUGUUGUAUAUUUUGUAAGUUCAAAUGCCCCACCACUCUAUAUUUAAAAAAAAAAAAAACAAAAAUAAUUUUUUUGACUAUAUAUUCGUGAUUUAGAUAAUCUUAUGUAGCCUUCUUUUUUUUUAUAAAUCUAAAUCAAUCUGAAAGCAUAUGUUUGAAAGAUAAUUUUUUUUUAUUUUUUAAUGUCUAACUAUAAGUGAUAAGUUUUAUACACUCAAAACAUCUUAAAUAUAAUAUUUUUAUACUUAUGACCUUGAAAGUGUUAUUUAUAUUUAGUUAAUUUAAAUAGGUAUAUACUUGCAAUGUUAUUUAGUACAAUAGUAUUUAUAUGUUAUAAAUAUUUAUAAGGUAAACAUUUGAUAUAUAAUUUAUGAAAAAUAAUUUUGAUAACAUUAUUUUUUACAAAUUAACAUAGUAUUUAUACAGUAAAAAAAAUUGUUAUCUAAUAAUAAAAGAAUUUGCACAUAUUGAAUGCAUGUUAAGUAAUUAAUACUAAGCAAAAGUUGAGGUCAAGAGAAAUUCUAAUAUGACAUCUAAAUUAUGUUAUAGACAGUUAAUUAAAAAAAAUUCUUUUGAUUAAAAGAAAUCAAAGGAUUAUUAGGUUUUAUAUAAUAGUUGGGUAGAAAAUAAAUUCAUUUGAUGAGAGUACUUGUGAGAAAAAAAAUAAUUUCUCAUUUAGAUAAAAAUUAAAAAAAUUUAUUUUUUCCAUUCAAAUGAAAAUAUCUUAUAAUAAGACUUUAGAUACAAAACCAAACAAGUUAAAAUACCAAAACAUCUUAAAUCAAGUCAAAUUAAGACUUUAGACAUAAAAAAAAAUAAACCCUUACUUUUACUCAUCAAAUAAUGAAACCGUGCACCGCAGACAGCCUACAAAACUCAUCAAAUACGAUUCUAUUCACAACUUAUUAUGAUCGGUACUCGGUAGUUAAGAAUAUUAUUAACUACCCCUUUUUUUAUAAACCAUAAACUAAGAUAAUUGAAACCCACGUAAAGAAACAUUAAUCAAGAAUAUUCCUAAUAAGAUGGUUUGCGAACGUACAAAUAUAACUUGAUUUUGUUUUGUGGGACUCUCCGCCUUCAGAUAUUUCUAGGCUUCCCUCUUAUAACUCUAAGGACUCUUGCUUUGUUCUAUUUUAUUUUUCGUUCAAUUCUUGUUUCGCGCGCUGUCAUAGCUUUCUUUCUAUUUUACAAGGAAAUGCUCACUAUUCCUGUUGAUUGAGAUAUUUUGAUGGUCUUAUUAAGAAUAUCAGUCCUCACAUUUGUUGUUAUUGUUGUUCGUUAUAAUCUUGAACUAACAUCCAAACGAAUGAUGGCAAGAUUACUGAACUUCUUUUCAUUGUUAACUUUCUCGUUGAGGCUCAGCGUCGGAGGGCUCCUGCCUUUAAAAAACUCUACCCCUUCAAACUAAGGGUUGGAUCAAUUGGGCCAAGAGACGGGUUGGGCUUGUUUGUCAUUCUUAAAUUAUAUGAAAGCACAAUGAAUAAGAAGCAAAGAAAGAAGGAAAAUGAAUACAAUUAUACAAACCUCAAAGAUUCUCUCGCUGAUUUUUUAAGCAUUCGUGAAAGGAACCUAAAUACAGCCUAGGGAACAUAGUGAGCAUUAACCAUUAACGAAACAUAUAUAUAGCGAUUGAAAAAAAAGACUGCUAAUUAAGAAGAAAAGAUCUUGUUCAAGUGUGAGCUGUGAAACUGAUUUCCAGAGAUUCAUACGACAUGUCAGUUCGUGAUUGGUACAGAAUACGACUGGUCGGCUAAGAUCAUGCAAAGCCAUACGACAAAGCUGUUUGUUCAUCCAUAUGCGAAUAAGUCAAGCACGUGGUCGUCACAUGCUUACACUUAUUCAAUACGACUUUGCUGAGUGCCGUUUUGGAGCCUUCAUUCAAUGUGAAGUAAACACGUGGCUCUGAAGGUCGUUAUGUUCUGUUACAAGAGCGGGAAGAUCUGGUUUUUAUUGACAGAGGAGAGUUGACUGGUGGGGGUAAUUUCUGGGCUCACUUAAGCAUGUAUAUAUAGCCUUAAGUGAUGUGGAAUCAGGGUGUGUGAUGCUUGUAACUUCAUAUAAAGACUUGUAUCUUGUUCCUGGUGAUUGAAUAAAGAUUGUUGCUCUAUUCUUCAGUGGAUGUAAGCCAACUCCAGGUUGAACUACUUAAAUCUUUUUUUUUCGUUGGUUGCUGUUCUUUAGUUCCUUUUGUGUAUCUUUUAUUGUUGCUUAAGUAUUUCUUAAUCAAGCAUCAGAGUGUUUAGAUAAAUCUUGGGAAUCUUGGUUGAUUUAAUUCGAUCAAGGUCUAACAAAUUGGUAUUAGAGCCCAACAACUCUGAUUUUUUAUCCAAGAAAUGGCAACCUCUAAGUUUCAAGUAGAGAAAUUUACAGGAGAGAAUGACUUCCAUUUAUGGCGGCUUAAGAUGAGAGCAUUGUUGGUCCAUCAAGGGCUUGAAGAAACACUGGGGGAUCCAAGAUCUGAAAAGAAGCCCAGCAAGCUCAGUGGAGAAGAAAUGCAAGAUGCAUUAGACAAGGCUCAUAGCACCUUAAUCUUGAGUCUGGGUGAUGGAGUUCUGAGGGAAGUUGGGGAUCAAACAACUGCUGCAGGCCUCUGGAAGAAAUUAGAAGAUCUCUAUACGAAAAAGUCUCUAACCAAGAGACUUUGCACUAAGAAGAGGCUGUAUACAUUGCAAAUGGAGGAGGGUAGCUCUCUGGCAAAUCACAUUGAUAACUUCAACAUAAUCAUUCUUGAUCUUGAAGAUAUCAAUGUGAAACUGGAAGAUAAAGACAAGACAAUAAUCUUGUUAUCAUCUCUCCCACCUUCCUAUGAACAUUUUGUGGACACUUUACUAUAUGGAAGGCAGUCAAUAACCAUGGCUGAUGUGAAAGACUCUCUCAAUUCAAAAGAGGUCACAAGGAAGUCAGAAGUAAAAGAUGGUGAAGGCUUGACAGCAAGGGGUAGACUAGAAAAGAAGGAUUACAGUAACAAGAAUAGAAACGCAGCAAAUCAAAGUCAAAGAAUAAAAGUUUGAAAUGUUUCCAGUGCCACAAAGAGGGACAUUUCAAGAAAGACUGUCCAGAGAGAAAGAACAAGGAAAAAGAUGGACCCAAGAAGAAUGGAGAUGCUGCUGUUGCAUCAGAAGAAAAGGAUGAUGAAGGCUAUGACUCAGCUGAGGUUCUUCUAGUCACUGGAACUCAAACCAAUGGUAAGUGGGUGUUGGAUUCUGGAUGCACUUAUCACAUGUGCCCUGAUAGAAAUCUUUUUUCCAGUUAUAGAUUUUUUAAUGGUGGGGAAGUUAUGAUGGGAAACAACUCACUUUGUAAAGUGGUUGGACUUGGAACCAUUAGGCUUAAGAUGUUUGAUGGGGUGAUUAGGGAAUUAAGUGAAGUAAGGCAUGUUCCUGAGCUAAAAAGAAACUUAAUAUCACUAGGAAUCCUUGAUCAAAUAGGCUGCAUCAUUAAAAUGGAAUCUGGGGUUAUGAAGAUAAUUAGAGGGUCCAUGGUGAUAAUGAAGGGGGCCAAAAAUAAUGGCUUGUAUGUGCUGCAAGGGACAACCAUUACAGGGGAUGUUAGUGUCUCAACCAGUAAGAAUCUAAACAAAACACUAAUGUGGCACAUGAGAUUGGGGCAUAUGAGUGAAAGGGGGAUGAAGAUAUUAGAAAAACAAGGAGUCUUGAGGGAUGAUAAGAUAGGUUAUGUUGAGUUCGUGAGGUAUGUGUCCUAGGAAAAUCCUCUAGAACUAGUUUCAAAAUUGCAGUGCAUAAGACCAAAGGAACCUUAGAUUACAUCCACUCUGAUUUAUGGGGACUAGCACAGACAACUUCUUUAGGUGGAGCUAAAUAUUUCCUAUCCUUGAUUUAUGACUAUUCUAGAAUAGUUUGGGUGUAUCUCUUAAAGAGUAAAAAUGAAGCCUUUGAGAAGUUUAAGUAGUGGAAAGCACUGGUAGAAACACAAACAGGUAGAAAAGUCAAGAGGCUAAGGACUAAUAAUGGUUUAGAAUUUUGCAAUCAACAAUUCAAUGAUUUCUGUGCUCAGAAUGGAGUUGUAAGACACAAGACAGUAAGGCAUACUCCACAGCAAAAUGGACUUGCUGAGAGGAUGAAUAGGACUCUCAUGAACAAAGUAAGAUGUCUGCUAAUUCACUCAAAACUUCCUCAAUCCUUAUGGGCUGAGACACUUAUGACAGCUUGUUAUUUAGUCGAUAGAAGUCCAUCCAGUGGCAUAGACUUUAAAACACCUGUAGAAAUGUGGUCAGGCAGAGCUGCUAACUAUUCUGAUUUGAAGAUAUUUGGCUGCCCAGCAUUUGCACAUGUAAAGCAAGGAAAGCUUAAGCCUAGGGCUCUGAAAUGUGUCUUCCUUGGAUAUCUAAAGGGUGUGAAGGGCUGUAGGCUCUGAUGUAUUGAUCUUAAACCACCCAGGUGCAUAGUUAGUAGAGAUGUGAUUUUCAAUGAACAGGAAAUGCUUAAGAGCUAUAUGCAGAAGCUUGAAAACUCAGACAAAAACACUAGUGUACUGAGAGAUCAGAUUAAGGUGGAGCUUACUGGAAAAUCUGGAGAUACAACUUCAUAUGAGACAUUAGAAGAUAAGGAAAGAGAUGCAGAAGAUUCUGAUGAAAUUUCAGAAAAACAAACAACAUUGCAUGAUUAUCAGCUGGCCAGGGAUAGAGAAGGGAGAGAGAUAAGGGUACCAAAGAAGUAUGCAUAUGCAGAUCUGAUUGCAUAUGUAUUAACAGCAGCUCAUGAACUGGAUUAUGAUGAACCUAAAACCUACAAGGAAGCUGUUUCAGGGAAAAAUGCGAACUAGUGGUUGAAAGCCAUGAAAGAAGAAAUGGAUUCUUUGUAUAAGAAUGACACCUGGACACUUGUGAAAAAACCAGACAAGAAAAAGGUGGUAGGAUGCAAAUGGGUGUACAAACUCAAGCAAGGUAUUACAGGAGUGGAACCAGUGAGAUUCAAAGCCAGACUUGUUGCAAAGGGCUUCACUCAAAAGGAGGGGAUUGACUUUACUGAGGUAUUUUCACCUGUAGUGAGGCAUGCCUCUAUAAGAAUCAUCUUGUCACUGGUGGCUGUAAACAACAUGCAUUUGGAACAAAUGGAUGUAAAAACAGCAUUCUUACAUGGGGAAUUACAAGAGUACAUAGUAAUGGCUUAGCCUGAAGGAUUCACAGUCAAAUCAAAGGCUGAUUGGGUUUGUCAUCUGAAGAAGUCUCUCUAUGGACUUAAACAAUCCCCAAGACAAUGGUACCUCAGGUUUGAUAGCUUUAUGUUAGAGCAGAAAUUUCAGAGGUGUAACUUGGACUGUUGUGUUUACUUCAAAGAAGAUUCAUGCAUGAUGGUUUAUCUGGUAUUGUAUGUAGAUGACAUGCUUAUUGCCAGUGUAAGCAUGAGCUUAAUUGAAAACCUGAAACAUAAGCUUAAAAGAGAAUUUGACAUGAAGGAUCUUGGUCCAGCAAAGAAAAUUCUGGGAAUGUAGCUACACAGGGAUAGAAAAGCUGGCACUUUGUUUCUCAGUCAGGAAGAAUACAUUAGAAGGGUAAUUGACAAGUUUGGAAUGGCAAACUCAAAGCCAGUUCAAACACCCUUAGCCCCUCAUUUCAGAUUAUCAGAUCAGUUGUGUCCAAAAACAGAAGCUGAAAUAUCUGAGAUGAUAAAUAUACCUUAUGCAAGUGCUGUAGGUUGCUUGAUGUAUGCUAUGGUCCUAACUAGGCCUGAUUUAUCCUAUGCUGUGAGUGUUGUAAGCAGGUAUAUGACAAACCUUGGAAAGGAACACUAGAGGGCUGUAAAAUGGAUUCUCAGGUACCUAAAUGGGACAGCAACAUAUGGGUUAAUGUAUGGAGGACAGAGACAAGAUGACAGUCAGAUUGUUGGUUAUGUGGACUCUGAUUAUGCUGGGGAUCCGGAUAGAAGAAGAUCACUUACAGGAUAUCUCUUCACACUCAACAACUAUACUGUCAAUUGGAAAGCUCAACUGCAGAGUGUUGUGGCACUUUCAACCACAGAAGUUGAAUACACAGCUGUUGCAGAAGCAGUUAAAGAAGCCAUCUGGCUGAAAAGAAUGCUUAAAGAACUUGGUGUUGAUCAGAGGUCGAUAAUGAUAAACUGUGACAGCCAAAGUGCUAUAUGUCUGAGCAAAAAUCAGACACAUCAUGAAAAGACCAAGCACAUCGAUAUCAAGUUGCAUUUCAUAAGACUAAAAGUGUUGAAAGCAACAGUGAAGCUGCAGAAGAUUCAUACAGACAAGAAUGUUGCAGAUAUGCUAACUAAACCAGUUAGAAUUAAGUGACAGAUAGUUGAAGAGAAGAGUAAUAGGUUCAUGAGGGUUUCAAGCUCAAGGUGGAGAAUGUUGAAGUGUGAGCUGUGAAACUGAUUUCCAGAGAUUCAUACGACAUGUCAGUUCGUGAUUGGUACAGAAUACGACUGGUCGGCUAAGAUCAUGCAAAGCCAUACGACAAAGCUGUUUGUUCAUCCAUAUGCGAAUAAGUCAAGCACGUGGUCGUCACAUGCUUAUACUUAUUCAAUACGACUUUGCUGAGUACCGUUUUAGAGCCUUUAUUCAACGUGAAGCAAACACGUGGCUCUGAAGGUCGUUAUUUUCUGUUACAAGAGCGGGAAGAUCUGGUUUUUAUUGACAGAAGAGAGCUGACUGGUGGGGGUAAUUUUUGGGCUCACUUAAGCAUGUAUAUAUAGCCUUAAGUGAUGUGGAAUCAGGGUGUGUAAUGCUUGUAACUUCAUCUAAAGACUUGUAUCUUGUUCCUGGUGAUUGAAUAAAGAUUGUUGCUCUGUUCUUCAGUGGAUGUAAGCCAACUCCAGGCUGAACCACUUAAAUCUGUUUUUUUUGUUGGUUGUUGUUCUUUAGUUCCUUUUGUGUAUCUUUUAUUGUUGCUUAAGAAUUUCUUAAUCAAGCAUCAGAGUGUUUAGAUAAAUCUUGGGAAUCUUGGUUGAUUUAAUUCGAUCAAGGUCUAACAAAUCCGAACAAUCAUACUAAUUGAAUCUAAAUUUUAGAAUAUCUUUUGCAUCUUGAGAGAAGAGUUUUCAAAAUUAUGAAGGAAUAUGUCCAUAAAAAUCUAAGAGACAACUCACUAAAACUUCGUGAAUUUACCUUUUUUAGGGCUUUUUUUUCCUUUUCACAAAAUUAAAGAUAAGGGUAUAUUUAUCUUCAAAUGUUGUUAGCGGUAGUAUAUUUUUGAACCAAUCUUAAAUAAAACUUGAAAUCCCAAUAAAUUUCUGUAGAUUAUUACAAUAAAAAAAAAGUGCCGCAAUCUACACUAUCAUUUAUCGAAGGCUUUAUGUACACAAAAAUAAAGAAUGAACAAGAACAUGUAAAAUCAAUGUAGAUUCAUGGAUUACCUGCCAUCUGCAAUCAUAUUAAACUUCUAAUCAUUAAUUUCAUUGUCUAUUACGUUAAAUGCAAACACUAAAUAAAGUCGAUCUAAUUUGUUGAAAACCUAUAAAUUGCAUUAAUAAUAGCCUUUUUUUAUGUCUCCUUAUCAUAUCAAUUUCAAUGUAAAUCUUUCCACCAUCCCCAAUAAACCAUGUACCAUUUCCAUGAUAAUUCAAUAUCAAGAAAACUUCAUAUGAUUUAGCAUAUCACAUGCCCUAUCAAUCAAGGUCAACCUUCUAGACGAACUUUUUUUUUUAAUGAAAAAGUAAAGCUUUCAUUACUUCAACCCGGUGAAUACAUGUCUAAUCUUAGGUGGGAAAUUUUCCACCCAUACAAAAGAUUCCAACUUUUCCAAUGCUAUUUUAGCUAAAAGAUGGGCACUAGUAUUACAAGCUCUGGGCACAUAUUUUGUUUUGAAAGAACUGAAGGUUUUCUUUAAGCUUUGAAUUUCUGAAAUAGUCCAACAUAUCUCUGUUAAACUCCUUUCUCUAUCGUUUAUCGAAUCUACUACUUCUUGAGAGUAUGUUUCCAGAAUUAUUGAUUGCAUACCCAUCUAAUGGGCUAUUUGCACUCCCCAUUCAGCUGCUUCUGCCUCCACACUUGACACCUCUCCGUUGAACUUUACAUUUUUUAUGCCUGCAGCUAUGCAUUUUCCAGUAGAGUCUUUUAUUAUUGCACCUAAUCCAGCAUAACUCUUAUUUGAAUCAGUAGCUGCAUCAACAUUGAUCUUUAGCCAUCUAUGGGGUGGGAGAGUCCAGACUGUUUUCUUUAUCUUCUAUAAUUUUUCUUCAUUCGUAAUCUCUGGAAACUAAGUUCUUCUGAAAGCCUUAUUAAUUGCUUUAGCUUUGGCCAUUGAUAAUCUUGGGUCUAACUUCAAAUCUUCACAAACAAAUUGGUUUCUAUCAUACCAGAUCACCCAAAGGAUAUUCAUCAUCAUUUCCAUGUCAGCUCUACUUAGCUUCUUCUGUAAUCUCAUUAAGUCUCCUAAAAUAUCAGGAUUUCCCAUUUCCUGAAAGGAACUUGCCAGAGGUGAGAGUUGCCAAACUUUCUUUGCAGCUUUACAAGUAAUCAGAGCAUGCAUGGUGUUUUCCACUCUAUUUCCACAUUGUUUGCAGUAGGCCUCAUGAACAAUCUUUCGCUUCCACAAAUUUUCAGCUGUGGGCAAUAAAUUUUUUACUACCCUCUAGAUGAAAAUCUUGAUUUUGGCCGGGAGAGUGAGCUUUCAAAUAAAACUCUAGUUACUAUUACUACUAUUAGAGCAAUUAGGAGAAUCUGGAAAUUUUAAAUUUAGAGCCACUUGGUAUCCACUUUUCACUUUAUAUUUCCCUCUUUUAUCGUUGUGCCAGAUUACUUUAUCUUCAUUUUGUCUUCUAGGCAAGGGAAUGCUUAGAAUGGCUUCUGCAUCUUCCUUCACAAAGUUCUGCUGAAUCAGAUUUGUCUUCCAAUUAUUUUCGUUAUCUACCAGCACUGAAGCAUCUUUAUUCUAGAAAGAGGCUUGAAUGUUGAUGGUCUUGGAAUCCAGUUGCCUCUGUACACUGAAAUUGUCUCCCUAUUUCUUAUUCUCUACCUAUAUCCAUUGUGAAUUAUCUGCCUUCUGUUGAGUGUUAGAAAAUGUAUAUUUAUAAAGGGGAAAUCGUCAUUUUAUACUUCAAGUUUUACUAACAUUAUUACUUUUAUAUAUUUAAGCUUUUUGUGAUUUAAUUAUGUGUGUUUUAUUUUAAUUAAGUAUUUUAUAUAUUUUAGGGGCAUCAUGGUCAUUUUACAAUGAACGAUAGCUCAGACGACAGAACGAGAGCUCAGACUUUUGAACUCAGGACAGUCGAAAACUUUAGGAGGAGCAUAAAAAGAAAAAUGGCACUGUUCACAUAUAUGAUACUAUUCACAUGUACGGUACUGUCCAUAUUACUGUUCACACAUACGGAACGAUGACGUGGAAUUGUCCGAUGAUGUGGCAUUGACUGAUGAGGUGUCACGAUUCCAUUGGAGAAAAUUCUUAUGCACUGUUGAUCGGUGACGUGGCAGCAUGUUAGUGGACCAAAAAUCGCGCGUACAGUACAAUAGAUUCGUGCGCUUGCGAGUUCAAUAAAAUUUGCACAACAAGUUUUUGGCGCCGUUUCCGGGGAGGUAAGUUAUUUUAAUUUGUAGAAUUAAUUUUUGUAAAUAAUUUCUUUUAAUUGUUUUCUUGUAAUUUUUUUCUUAUUAAAAAAAAGAGUAAAUCUGCAUUUAGAGGUAAGAAUUUCUUUUCAUUUUCUCUUCUUUAAAUUUUUGUAAUUUAAUUUUUAAGUUAUUUUUCUUUGUAAUUUUUCGUUUAUCUUAUUAAUUUAUUUCACAUAUUUUUUAGUGUUUUUUUUAUAGAAAGAUUUUAAUAGUGUAAUAAGGUUAGUACCGUAAUUUCUCCUUCUUUUUUAUUUUUAUUUAUUUUGUUUCCAUUUAUUUUUCUGUUCUUUGCAUGCAUGGUCGAAGGUCAUUAUUACCUAAUCUUGAACCUAUAGACCUUGAACUUAAAAAAACAUUUCGCACACACAAACACGUUAAAAAAAAUGGAUUUGCAACAACAACCAGCACCACAGGAGAGGCCAUUUAAGGACUAUUUCAGUCCCUUAGCUAAUUUGAGCACAUCAUGCAUAAGAUACCCAAAUGUAGCUGUUAGGAAUUUUGAAUUAAAACCUAGUGUGCUAAAUUGUCUCCCAACAUUCUAUGGCCUAGAAAAUGAGGACCCAUAUAAUCAUUUGAAUGAUUUUCAUGCUGUUUGUCAAACAUUUAAAUAUGAGAAUUUUUCAGAUGAUUAUGUUAAACUCAGAUUAUUCCCAUUUCUUUAAAGGAUAAAGCUCGUUCAUAUCUCAAUACAUUGCCUGCUAAUAGCAUUAUAUCAUAGGAACAAAUGGUAACAAAAUCUUUGAAUAAAUAUUUCCCAGUGCAUAAAACCAAUGUUAUUCACAGGGAAAUCUCAGAGUUUACCCAGAGAGAAGACGAGCAGUUUUUCGAAACAUGGGAGCGAUUCAAUGAGCUACUCUUGAAGUGUCCACAUCAUGGGUAAGAGAAAUGACACCAAUGCUAAUACUUUUUGAAGGGAUUAUUGCCGCAUGUGUAAGAAUGGCUAAUGGCAACAAGUGGAGGAGAGCUAAUGUCAAAAAGUGCAUAAGAGAUUUGUGAAUUCUUUCAGCGACAAGCAGAUAAUUCCCAAUAACGGAGUCGAUCACUCAAGAAUACUAAAAGAAUUAAAGGAGUGAAUGAGGUUAACGUUGGUGAGUCAAGUUCGGAAAUUAAAGAAGUCAAAGAAAUGGUUGAAGGUCUCUCGAAAAAUAACAUCAUUAACGAUUGCUAAAUCAACAGAACCACAUGACCAUGACAAAACCAUCAAAUUACAACCCAUACUCCAACACAUAUAACCCUAGAUGGAGAGUCCACCCCAAUUUUUCAUGGUCUCAAGGAUUCCAACAGAAUGGACUAGCAGCUCUAGCUCCACCAAUGCAACCAAUUCCUCAAGUUCCUCAAGCCUCUUAGCCCCCAUUUAGACCAUACUAUCAGAACUAGAACUAAUCUCAACCCAGACCAUGGGAGGAUUCAUUCCAGAAUCUCAAGAAUCUUAAGAAUCUUACUCACUCCACGAUCGAGCAACAGAACCGCACCAUUGAUGAACUACGAAAUGAGAUAAGAGCAGUCUUCAACUGACAAGCCCAAUCAGUUUCAAGCCUCGAGAAGAUGGUGGGACAGCUUGCUUCUUCAGUUCAGACCUUGACAAUGACUGUUGAGAAAGACAAGUUUCCAAGUCAACCAGUGCCUAAUCCUAAAAGAGUGCAUGAAACAAGUAUUAAUUCACCACAGCAGCACGGAGAGGUCGAAGCUGUCAUGAACUUGCGAAAAGGAAAAGAAGUCGACAACAAAAUAGAGAUGUCGGUGACGAAAACAAAUCAAAUUGUACCUCUAAAUGUUGAAAACUCACCACUGGAGGAGAAAGAAGAAACCAACCCACGAGAAUAUGUUCCGAAAUCUCCAUUUCCUCAUAGGUUAGCUAAGGGAAAGAAAGGAAAAUCCACAGGUGAGAUUCUUGAAAUCUUCAAACAGGUAAGUGUUAACAUCCCUUUACUUGAUGCUAUAAAAUAAGUUCCAUCUUAUGCCAAGUUUCUUAAAGACCUUUGUACUAAAAAGAGAAACAUCCAUGUUUAAAAGAAGGUCUUUUUAACAGAAAAAGUUAGUUCUAUACUCCAACACAAAAUUCCUCUAAAAUGCAAAGACCCAGGCUCCCCCACUAUCUCAUGUAGCAUAGGAAACCACACAAUUGAGAAUGCUUUGUUGGAUUUAGGAGCUAAUGUAAAUCUGUUGCCUUAUUCAAUAUUUAUAAAACUUGGACUGAGAGAAUUACACCCAACUCCAGUGGUGUUACAACUUGCAGAUCGGUCUAGAAAAAUAUCUCGUGGUAUUGUGGAGGACGUGCUUGUCCAGGUAGACAAGUUUUAUUUUCCUAUUGAUUUCAUUGUAAUUAACACUUAACCAAUCCAGGAUUCAAGGAAGCACAUCCCCAUUAUCCUAGGCCGACCUUUCUUGGCAACUACGGAUGCUCACAUUCAAUGCAGAACUGAAAAUAUGCAGUUGUCUUUUGGCAACAUGACUAUGGAGCUAAACAUUUUCAACAUUGCCAAACAACCUCACAAUGCAGAUGAUGGAAUUGUUGAUGUGGAUUUAAUAGAAACAUUAGUUGAUAAUACUUUUCUUUCAAACCUUAGUGAUAACCUUUUACAAACAUGCUUAAUUUACUUUGGUUUGGAUUUUGAUAUUAACAGAUCGGUCGAUGAGGUCAGCACCCUACUUGACUUAGCACAAUCCAUUGACACUAAUAAAUGGAAGUCAAUAGUUGAACAACUAGCACCAUUAGAGAAGAAACUCAUCCCAUCAUUAGAAUCACCACCGAAACGCGAGCUCAAACCAUUACCCAACACUUUAGAACAUGUGUUUUUGGGAGAAGAAAGUACUCUGCCGGUAAUCAUCUCAUUAUCCCUAAACGACGAACAAAAAAGUAAGUUGUUGGAUAUUUUAAAAGAACACAAAGGAGUAUUAGGAUGGACCACAGCUGACAUAAAAAAGGUAUAAAUCCAGUAUACUGAAUGCAUUAUCUUCACCUUGAUGAAAAUACUAAACCUACUAGAGAAAUGCAACGUCUGUUAAAUCAUAAUAUGAAAGACGUUGUUAGAACUUAAGUCCUUAAGCUAUUAGACGCAUGUAUCAUUUACCUCAUUUCUGAUAGUUUAUAGGCCAAUCUUGUACAAGUUGUCCCCAAAAAGUUAGAAGUCACAAUAGUUACAAAUGCUGAUAAUGAAUUGAUACCCACUAGAGUGACUACAAGAUGUCGUGUAUGCAUUGAUUAUAGAAAGUUGAAUUCUGUCAUGCGUAAAGACCAUUUUCCUUUACCAUUUAUCGAUCAAAUACUUGAUAGAUUAGCAGGUCAUGAAUUGUAUUGCUUCCUAGAUGGCUACUCAUGAUAUAAUCAGAUUCACAUAGCACCAAAAGAUCAAGAAAAUACCACUUUCACUUGCCCUUUUGGCACUUUUGCAUAUAGGAGGAUGCCAUUUAGAUUAUGUAAUGCACCUACUACAUUUCAACGAUGUAUGUUAAGCAUUUUUUUCUGAUAUUGUUGAACGAUUCCUAGAAGUAUUUAUGGAUAAUUUUUCUCUCUUUGGUGACUCGUUUGAUCAAUGUUUACAUCGUCUAACACUAGUUCUGUAGAGAUGUAUUGAGAAGAACUUAGUCUUAAAUUGAGAGAAGUAUCAUUUUAUGGUAAAAUAAGGUAUUGUUCUUGGUCACAUCAUUUCAAGCAAAGGUAUUGAGGUUGACAAAGUCAAGGUAGAUCUCAUUUAUAAUAGUCCUCCACCCAAAACAGUAAGAGAAGUAAGAUCUUUCCUUGGGCAUGCUGGUUUUUAUAGACGUUUCAUUAAAGAUUUUAGCAAAGUUUCUAGACCCUUAUGCAAUCUAUUUUAGCAAAGUUUCUAGACCCUUAUGCAAUCUACUUGCUAAGAAUGUACAUUUUAUCUUUGAUGAUUCAUGUCUUGUGGCGUUUAAAAAAUUGAAGCAGUUGUUGACAUCAUCACCCAUCAUUCAACCUCAAACUGGAGCUUACCAUUUGAGCUCAUGUGUGAUGCAUCUGAUUAUACAGUAGGACCAGUAUUAAGACGAAGAGUUGAUCGACUUCGUCAUGUUAUUUAUUAUGCUAGUAUGACAUUAAAUGAUGCACAUUUGAAUUAUUCAACUACUGAAAAAGAAAUGCUAGUAGUGUGNNNNNNNNNNNNNNNNNNNNNNNNNNNNNNNNNNNNNNNNNNNNNNNNNNNNNNNNNNNNNNNNNNNNNNNNNNNNNNNNNNNNNNNNNNNNNNNNNNNNNNNNNNNNNNNNNNNNNNNNNNNNNNNNNNNNNNNNNNNNNNNNNNNNNNNNNNNNNAAAAAGGCGCAGAAAAUGUCGUGGCUGACCAUCUCUCUCGUCUCCAUUUUGACACAAUUACAGAACCAUUAACAUUGAAUGAGUCAUUCCCAAAUGAACAAUUGAUGAGUGUGGAAGUAUUACCAUGUUAUGCUGGCAUCGUGAAUUAUCUUGUUACAGGUCAACUUCCAGAGCAUUGGACCAAGCAAGACAAAGCCAAUUUUUUUGUGGAAAUAAAAAAUUUCUUUUGGGAUGACCCUUAUCUGUUCAAGUAUUGUGCAGAUCAAAUUGUUAGAUGAUGUGUCCCAGAAAGUGAAAUUUAGAAUAUUCUUUCAUUCUGCCAUGAACAAGCUUGUGGAGACCAUUUCCGUGCUAAAAAAAUAACUAUUAAAGUUUUACAAUGUGGUUUCUAUUGGCCAACUAUAUUUCGAGAUGCUUACACUUUUUGUUCUUCAUGUGAUAGGUGUCAACGAAUGGGGAGCAUUACAUGAAGGAAUAUGGUGCCACUAAAUUCAAUUUUAGUAGUUGAGUUUUUUUAUGUAUGGGGUAUCGACUUCAUGGGAUAUUUUCCCCCUUCUUUUGGCAAUUAAUACAUAUUGGUUGCUGUUGACUACGUACCGAAAUGGGUAGAAGCAAUUCCAUGUAGAACCAAUUAUCACAAGGUGGUGAUAGAAUUUUUGAGAAGCAACAUUGUUUCACGCUUUGGAUUCCCUCGAGCAAUAAUCAGUGAUGGUGGUGCCCACUUUUGUAACAAAGCAUUCAAAACUCUUUUGACGAAGUAUUCAAUCACUCACAAAGUGGCGACCCCAUAUCAUAUACAAACUAGUGGUCAAGUUGAAAUCUCCAAUCGAGAAAUAAAGCACAUAUUAUAAAAGACGGUGAGGUCGGACAUAAAAGAUUGGUCAUUAAGACUCGAUAAUGCAUUAUGGACAUAUAGAACAGCUUUCAAGACCCCGAUUGGGAUGUCACCCUACAGGCUAGUGUAUGAAAAAGCUUGCCACUUACCUGUGGAACUCAAGCAUUGUGCAUACUGGGCCAUCAAGAAAUUCAACUUUGACAUGUAGCAAGCUAGCUCAGAAAGAAGAUUACAGCUGACAGAACUUGAAGAAAUUCGCACUGAUACAUACGAAAAUGCCAAGAUUUACGAACAGCAAAUGAAAGUUGUUGAGUGUUAGAAAAUGUAUACUUAUAAAGGAGAAAAUUAUCAUUUUACAUUUCAAGUCUUACUAACAACCCUCACUUUUAUGUAUUUAAGGUUCUUGUAAUUUAAUUAUGUGUGUUUUAUUUUAAUUAAGUAUUUUAUAUAUUUUAGGGGCAUCAUAGUCAUUUCACAAUAAACGAGAGAUCAGAUGGCAAAACGGACAUCACUUUUGAACUCAGGACGGUCGAAAACCUUAGGAGGAGCAUAAAAGGAAAAAUGACACUGUUCACAUGUACGGUACUAUUCACAUGUACGGUACUGUAUACGUUACUGUUCACGGCACUGUUCGAUGACGUGGCAUUGACCGAUGAUGUGGCAUUGACUGAUGAAGUGUCACGAUCCUGUUGGACUAAAAAUCUUAUGUACUGUUGAUGGUGACGUGGCAGCAUAUUAGUGGACCAAAAAUCUCGCGUACGGUACAUGCAUCACACAGGAUUAUUUUCAACCAAACUGCGUCACUAUUCACCCGAGUCAAACCGUGUUACUGUUCAUCCGCGUGGUCAAACCGCGUACUGUUCACGCGUGUUGUUGACUGAUAACGUGGCGAAAUCCUGAGCGUCCAAACUGUUUUUAAUCCGAUGGCCAUGAUUUACUCCAUGUAUCUAUAAAAAGGGGGCCUCCCCCUCUAAUUUGAUAUCUCUGAAUCCAUUUUUGAGAUCCAUUUUCUAUAAUUCCCUCUCCAUCUUGUAUUUUCUUUGUAUUUUAAUAAAUUUCUAUUUUGCCCCUAGUUUAAUUAUGAGUGGCUAAUUUUCUUUCAAGCUUGGGUUGAAGGUAAAGUCUCAACAUGUGUCAUGGGCUUUAUUUGGUAAAUUUAUUUUCUCUUCCCCUCUAGUUUUUAUGGAUGUUUUGACUUCUCGUCGACAAAUAAUACUAAUCUUGUCUAGUACCGCCUUGGUUUCACCGGCCCUCUAGUACAAGGUUAUUAUUAUUUGGCACGAUAAGCACUUAGCAUCAUAUUGAUUAGAGGGUGGUUCAUGAGGUGUGGAUUCCCCCCUCAUGAUUUAAUUGGCAUUAAUAAGGAUUAUUUAGUCCAUGAUGCAUGUUGAUACGGAUCCAGAUACCUAAGUACGUCAUUUCAAUAGAAUUCUCUUAAAUUUAUUCUCACCAUUUCAAUACCAAUUUUAGAAUUUAUUCUCGCCAUUUUAAUUUAAGUUUUAGUAUAUUGCAAAUCAUUUCCACCACAAAUCCAAUUACUCAUUCACAAAAUUAAUUCUACACAAUUAAAAUCCACCUCCUCGUGGGAUCGAUACUCGUCACCAUUGAUCUAUACUACAAUAGAUUCGUGCGCUUGCGAGUACAUUAAAAUUUACACAACAAAAGUCUUUCAUGACAAGCAAAUUAUGAGAAAAUCUUUGACUCUAGGUCAGAAAGUGCUUUUAUUCAAUUCUCGCUUGCACCUAUUCCCAGGUAAGUUAUGCUCUCGAUGGUCUGACUCCUUUAUUGUUCACACUGUUUUUCCACAUGGGCAAUUGAAAUUAAGGACCCAAAGAAUGGUGUCACGUUUAAAGUUAAUGGUCAAAGAUUAAAGGUAUAUCUAGAGUACCAACCACAUGGAGAGAACACCGAAAUAAAUUUGAGCGACCCACCAGAUUUGAAUUGAGUUUUUUUCUUUCUUUUCGGUGAUUUAUUUUUUUAUUUAUUUUUACUAUUCUUUUGGUAAUUGAAAUUAUUUUUCCAUAAGUGUGUUUGUUUAACCAUUAAGUUUUCUUUUAUCAUUACUAAUCAUGAGUGCCAUAGCUAAACAAUUCCUCUUGGACAUUCUUAGACCACUUCAACGUGUAAAAUCUCAUUUCAAAAGGCAGAUUCGAUUUUGUAAAACACAUCAUAUUUGGGCUCUGCAACCACCAGAGUUAGUAUCCCAUGUUGAGGAUUUAGAAAGUCAACUUAGAGACAUUGAGAGAGAUGUCUACAACAUCCAGUUGGAGCUUGAGGUAAAUUCAAUAAGAGGACGAUUGUAAUUUUCUUUAUGUGUUUUAACUUAUUUUUCUUUGUUUGUGUGCUUUAGUUUGUUACCCCGAUGAAUUGGCAGAUAACAGUACUCCGUGAUAAUCAAGUCGGUUACUUUAGUUUCUCAUAAUAACUAAUCUUCUGAGGCAAAUGUAUGGACAGAAACGAGAUUCUAGUAAAUCUUCACAAUCGAUUCCUUUCACUUCCUCAGAAUGCCCUCCUUACAAUCUAUAAAGCUCGGUAUGAACGCAUGCGAUUGCUGAUGAGGAAUAACAUACCUGCUGAUAUCCGCUGGUUAAUCAAGGCAAAAGUACAAGUGGCAGGUGAGUUGCCUCCUAAAUUUAUUGCAUACAUGCCUAGUUGUGGUAAUGGAAAUUAUGCAAGAAAACAAAGAGGUCGAAGAAUUUCAGUUGCUUGUCAUAAGUGUGCCAGAAUGAGAUGCGAUAAAAAAUCAUGUUCUUUAGGAAUGGUGUCUGAUAAUAGAGAAGAUAAAAUUAAAUUCAUUACGGAUGACUUGAAUAAUGAGUCAUUGGAUGAUAUCCUUUUGUCUCUUGAAACACACCCCAGUGGAUAUGUACAAGGAGCGAUUCUCCAGCUAUAACCAUUAUUCUAGAAAGAGAAUACACGAUAUAGUGUCGGGAAUCUGACUAUAAACGACCAUGUUUGCCAGUUUAUAAGAAAACUGGAUGGGAAGUCUAUCCUCGACCCAUAGAGGGCGUUCAAGUCGUUUCUGGACGUAAAACCAGAGGAAGAUGUGAGCCACAGUCGCAACUACCUGUAAAUAUCUUUUUAUUUCACUGUUAUUUUAUUUCACUGUUGUUUUAUCAUUUGCAUUAUUGUCUUUAAUAAUUUUAUUUUAUCAUUUUUUCUUUUUACUGUUUGCUUUUUGACUCUCAAGCCAUGUGUUGUACGCAUUAAUUGACAUUGACAUGCUACCUCAUACAUAGCUAUGACCCACUGUCACCAAGAUCCUUAAAUAUAAUUUGUUUUGUUUAGCACUCACAAAUUAUUUUUGAGAAGUAUCCCAAUGGCAGCUACUCCAAAUAAACAAUUCAAAAACAUUUGUGUGCUUUCUAGAUUUAAUUAUGGCAAACAUAAAGAGUUCAUUGAGGCAGCCAUAGAUCUUGGUAGAAGUAUAGCAGAGAGAAAACUACAAUUAUGGCAAACAUCUUGGGCCCAUCUGCAUAUUCACCAAAAACUCAUCGGUUUGUUAAAUGUUAAUAACUUUUAUGAUGGCUCUAUCGCAUUUCUUAACCAUGCAAUAAAAAACUAUUUUAUUCCUUCCACAGCGAAAAAGCUUUUUAUUUGUGCUCAUACUGCUAAUGAGCUACUUGAUCUGUUACAAACUUAUCGACCAGAACCAGAUCCCAGGACCUUGGUGUUAGAGUUUCCAAAUAAUGAUGGUAACAGUAGCCGCAGUAAGAAGUACAAAUUAGAUUUAACUCUCCGCCUGUAAAUAUUUUCUUCUAUGUUACACCACCCAGGUGAUGUCUUCUAAACUCUACUUCUUUCCUUUAAAAUAUUGAGGACAAUGUUUCAUUCUAAUUGGGGGGAGGGAAUAAUCGACAAUUGUGGAAUCUUGGUUAAGUUUUUACUAAUUUUUUGUUGUAGAGACUAACCGUAGCUAACUUUUUGUGUUGAAGAUGGCUGAAUAUGGAAUGUAAUUACUCUAGAAACGAAUUUUCUUCGUUUAAAAAAAAUAAAAUAAUAAUAAUAAUAAUGUUGUUUGAAAAAAAAUUGUGUGAUUUGUUUUAACAUUGGAUGACAUGAUGAAUUUUAAAAUUUAGUAUUUAUAUUAUCUUUGGUCUUAAGAGAUGUUACGCCAUAUUUGCUACUCUACAUGUUGAUGUCGGAGACAAAUAUGAGUUGCUUGAAGGAAUAAACAUGUCAUAAUAAGUACCAAGUGAGUUUUGGAGCCUAUCAUUUUUCUUGGAGAGUAACCAUUUUGCUCAUUCUUCAUACAACUUAGUAGUUUAUUAUUUUAUACACGAUCUCUAUAUUUCUUUUGAAUUAACCUUUAAAACAAUUUGUAAAAUUAAAAAAAAAGAAAAAAAAAUGUGUGUUGCUACAUCUAGAGGCUCAUCUAACUAGUAGAUAUGGAAGAUUAUUUAGAGCUUUAAAAGACGAUGGAAAAGCCAUCUUUGAUCCGUUUGAGCCUUUGUAGCUAUCCCUUUUAUGAAAUAUUCAUAGUUAACCCUUUAAAGCCUUUAAAAAAAAACUUUUUUUUUUGUCAAACUUAUCAUCUUGACCCACUCCGAUUUGGAGUAUUACCCGAUAUCUUACAAGUUCCAUCACCUAUUUAUUUUGAGAAAAAUGUAAAUAAUUAUGUUGUUCAGUGAAGUUGUGCCAAACAAAAGCAAAACAAAAAACAAAAAAAAAUUGUUGUUUCAAAAAAAAAGAAAAAAAUAACAAUAAUAAGUGAAAUCUACCUUACAACUUCCAAAAAAAAAAACUCUACAUUUUUCUUAAACAUAUACUUUGUUUUCCUUAUUUCCCCUCCUUUGUUAGCCAUAUCCUUAGCCUACAUUACGUCUUAAUAAAAGACCUUCUUGAUUUUAGGGAACUAUAGUCUGAAGUAGAAGCUAGUUAUAUGGGCUAAAAAGAUAUAGUGAUGCAUAAAAAAAAGAUAAAAAUAAAUAAAUUGGGUUUACUAGCAUUUUUAUUUGACUUGAGAUCGUAUUAUUUUUAAGUUGAGGGUAUAUUUCUUUCAUCUUGUUGAAAGCGUGUGAUAUCACUUCUUUAUUAUUUUCUCUCAAUUACCAUUCAUUGGAGUGACUAUUUUUAUUGAGUUUAAUUUCUUUGUGAGAGUGUCACUAUUUCCAAUGAGAUUUUGAGGUUUAACAUGUCAUUCUUGAAAGUAGCUAUGACAAAGUCUACUGGGCUGAUUCAUAUGGAUGGUUGUUAUGUGUGUGAUGUUUCUUUAGACUGGAGAUAAUUCUUAUACUUUUAUUUGAUUACUAUCAUUAGUCUGAUUGAAUAAACAUAAUUGUUAAAAAAAAAAUCAUUUUGGAUUUGAAUUUUGUUUUCGCUUUAUUUGCUAGGGACUGGCAAUAAGCUGGUUGGGGGGUAUAUUGAGUGUUAGAAAAUAUAUAUUUAUAAAGGAGAAAAUCGUCAUUUUAUACUUCAAGUUUUACUAACAUUCUUACUUUUAUGUAUUUAAGUUUCUUGUGAUUUAAUUAUGUGUGCUUUAUUUUAAUUAAGUAUUUUAUAUAAUUUAGGGGCAUCAUGGUCAUUUCACAAUGAACUAGAGCUCAAACGACAAAACGGACAUCACUUUUUGACUCAGGACAGUCGAAAACCUUAAGAGGAGUAUAAAAAGAAAAAUGGCAUUGUUCACAUGUACGAUACUAUUCACAUGUACAGUACUGUCCAUGUUACUGUUCACGACACUGUUUACACAUAUGGAACGAUGACGUGGCAUUGACUGAUGAUUGUGGCAUUGACUGAUGAGGUGUCAUGAUUCCAUUGGAGAAAAUUCUUAUGCACUGUUGAUCGGUGAUGUGGCAGUAUGUUAGUGGACCAAAAAUCACGCAUACGGUACAUGCAUAUACACAGGAUUAUUUUCAAUUAAACCGCAUCACUGUUCAAGCCGGUUGACUAUUCAAACCAUGUGGUCAACCCGUGGCACUGUUCAAACCGCGUACUGUUAACUGAUGACGUGGCGAAAUCCUGAGCGUCCAAACUAUUUUUACUCUGAUGGCCAUGAUUUACUCAAUGUAUCUAUAAAAAGGAGGCCUCUCCCCCUAAUUGGACAUCUCUAAAUUUAUUUUUGAGCUCAAUUUUCUCUAAUUCAUUCUCCAUCUUGUAUUUUCUAUGUAUUUUAAUAAAUUUCCAUUUUGCCCCUAGUUCAAUUAUGAGUAGCUAAUUUUCUUUCAAGCUUGGAUUGAAGGUGAAGUCUCAACAUGUGCCAUAAGCUUUAUUUGGUAAAUUUAUUUUCUCUUCCCCUCUAAUUUUUAUGAAUGUUUUGACUUUUCGUCGACAAAUAAUAAUAAUCUUAUCCAGAUAUUGUCCUGGUUUCACUGGCUCCCUAGUACAAGGUUAUUAUUAUUUGGCACGAUAAGCCCUUAGCACCAUAUUGAUCAGAGUGUGGUUCAUGAGGUGUGAAUUCCCCCUCAUGAUUUAAUUGGUACUAAUAAGGAAUAUUUAGCUCAUGAUGCAUGUUGAUAUAGAUCCAGAUACUCAAGUGCUUUAUUUCAAUAGAUUUCUCUUCAAUUUAUUUUGGCCAUUUUAAUUUAAAUUUUAAAAUAUUUCAAAUCAUUUUCACUACAAAUUCAUCCACCGAUUUGGAAAAUUAAUUCUACACACAAUUAAAAUCAACCUCCUCGUGGGAUCGACACUUGUCACCAUUGAUCUAUUCUAUAAUAGAUUCGUGCGCUUGCGAGUUCAAUAAAAUUUGCACAACACCUUCCCCACAUUAUGCUCCUCCAAAUAUAGGAUGGAUUUGACCUUAUGGAAACUCCAAGAAAAUCAGUCAUUAGGAAAUACCUUGCCUUUAGUACUCUAGCUGCUAAGGAUUUCAGAUUUUGAAUUAUUCUCCAACCUUGUUUCGUAACUAAGGCUUGGUUGAAACUUGAUAUGUCUCUGAACCCCAUCCCUCCUCUAAUCUUGGCUCUACUCAUUUCCUCUCAUCUUGUCCAGGGAAUGCCUCUCUUUUCUUUCUUCUUGCUCCACCAAAAACCAGCAUUAUUUCUUUGAAUGUCAUCACAGAGCCCCACGGGAAUCUUAAAGACACUCAUAGCAUAAGCUGGUACAGCUUGUGCCACAACUUUGAUCAAGACUUCUUUCCCCCCACUCAAGAAGAGUUUUUGCUGCCAAUUAGAUAUCUUGCUCUGAAUUUUCAGUUUGAUCUCAUUGAAAAAAGUCUUCUUUUUUCUCCCGAUCAUAGAUGGUAGCCCUAGAUAUUUCUCGUGUCUUGACAUCACAUUGAGCUGGAAAAUUCUUUCAAUGUCUGAGGCCUGCUUUGCUGGAGCAUUUCCACUAAAAAACAUGCAUGACUUAUUAUAAUUGAAGAUUUGCCCAAAAGCUUUAGCAUAGCACUCAAAGAUGUUUUUCAAGUGCUGGCAGUCUUUGGUUAAAGCUUGAGAGAAAAUCAAGCUGUCAUCUGCCAAUAAAAGAUGAGAAAUGGAUAUUUAUUGCCCAAAUCUCAGCCCCUAAAUUUAUUUUUUCCUCUCAGCUUGUAUCAAUAAAUUUGAAAACGCUUCAGCACAUAUUAUAAAACAAAUAUGGGGAUAGAGGGCAGCCUUGCCUCAAACCCCUUUGAGGGGGUAAUCAUCCCCUGAGGAACUCCAUUGAUGAUUAUAGAAAAGGUUGGAGAAGUAAUACAAUUCAUUAUCAGAUUAACGACCUUCUCCUCAAAGCCUAAUCUACCCAUUGUCAACCUUAAAAACUCCCAUUCCACUCCGUCAUAAGCUCUACUUAUGUCUGACUUCAGAGCCACCAAUCCCCUUUUUUUUUUCCUUUGCUAUGUCUAAUCUUGUGAAGGCAUUCAUACUCAACAAUGAUAUUGUCGGUUAUCAAUCUGUUGGAAAUGAAUGCGCUUUGAGAAACAUCAAUGACAUCAUGCAAAAUAAUUUUCAAUCUAUUUGCCACUGUUUUGUCAAUGAUUCUAUAGAUUACAUUGCAAAGGCUUAUUGGUCUGAAUUGCGUCACUUUCUUAGGCUUGGCACACUUUGGAAUUAGAGCAAUAUAGGUGUGGUUUAACUGGGUAAUUGUACUUGUGUUAUUAAGGAUGUGAAGGCAUAUAGAGAUAACUCCUUCCUUUACAUAUUUCCAAUACUUCUGAUAGAAAGCAGCAGGUAACCCAUCCGGUCCGGGAGCCUUAGUUGGACACAUUUGAGCCAGGGCUUCUAUAAUCUCCUCUUUUGUGUAGGGUUGACUCAUGUCUGUGUUCAUUUCUGGUGACACUUUUGGCCUCAUUCCUCUUAGAGCAUCUUCCAUCUGAUCUUUGGUGGGGUUGGAAGUUAAGAAUAAGUCUGUAAAAUACUCACAAAAUUGUUUAGCAAUUUCACCAGUCUCUUUGAUCUAAUUACCGUGAGCAGCUUUUAUUCUCUAGAUUUUAUUUUUUUUCUCUUUCUAGAUGAGGCUUUGAGAUGAAAAAAUUUCAAAUUUUUAUCUCCCUCUCUAAGCUAAUCCGCCGUGGACCUCUGCUUUCAAUAAAUCUCUUCAUCCAGCAGGAGAUGGUGGAUCUGUCUUUCAUACCUCCAUUUGUGUUGCUGAAGGUCCUUGAUUCUGUUGACCAGCUUUUCAAGCUUCUUUUUAUUGCCUUCAAAAGUCCUUUUGCUCUAGUGUAUGAGUUUUGCAAGUGAAGCAGUGCUGACAUGCUUAAAGAGCUUAACUACAUCAGUCCCCUCCCACUUACCAUGCUUGGACCAUUCCUCCUCAACAAUUUCUUGGCACUCAUUAUAAGAGCUCUAUAAAUCCUCGUAGUGAGUUCGAGAGAAACAUUUCCUCUUGUAUGCCCUUAUUUAUCUUUGCUCUUUACAGCCAUUAAUAUUGGGUUGUGAUCAGAACACGAUGUAACUAAAUUAGUUGCAGCUUGGUCCUGGAAGAAAUUUGACCAAUCGUUGCUGCACAUGAAUCUGUCUAAUUGUUCCUUAAUGAAGUGGGUUCCAAACCUCCUAUUGGACCAUGUGAAUGGGUAACCAUUGCAGCCCAAAUCUCUAAUAUUACAAUCUUGGACAGCUUCUCUAAAAUCUGUGAUCAUACUAAGUUCCCUAUCGUUCCCCCCAUUUUUCUCAUUGAAGUGCAUAAUUUCAUUAAAAUCACCGAAACAAAGCCAUGGGGAUGAAGACAAACCUGCUAGCCUUCUUAGUAGAGUCCAUGUGUGUUUUUUCUGGUUUGUUUCUGGAUGGCUGUAGAUCCCAGUGCAUCUCAUCUGAUCUCUAUUUUCAGUUACUAUCUCUGCAUUAAUGUGGUGGCUGUGAAGGAGGUGAUAUUCACAUUUGUUUCCAAAGUCCAUAACAUAGCUAAACCCCCGCUCUUUCCCUUACUGCUCACUACAAAACAAUUUUCCAUCUUUAGCUUUUUGCCAACAUUAUUCAUGCAUACAGUCUUCAGUUUAGUUUCACACAAGAAAAUCAACUAAGGCCUGUAUAAUUGGAAGAACUUUUUCAGAGCUAUGAACGUCCGGUCAUUCCCCAACCCCCGGACGUUCCAACUCAAGAUUUUCAUGGUUGUCGGCGAGGCUGCUCCUCAGCCUCCGCCGAUUGAAUUGCUGCAUGGUUGGUUUGUUCCUUGUCCACUGCAUCCAAAUCCUCCCAGUGAAGCUUGUGUUUGUGUAGAAGCCGAUUGUCUCCAAUUGGUCCUUAUUUUGUGUACCCUUUUUUAUUUACAUUUCUAGCCUAAAGUUUCCAUUUUCUUCGUUUGAGCCUAGCAUUUUUUGUUCCUGGCCCCUCAUACACCACCUCAUCUUUUCUAGGGCUUUGACUAGAAAUUGUAGUUGACUCUAGAUUUGGCGCCACGCUCAAAUUGGUUCCCUCCCUAUUUUCUGUUCCCGCUUCUUCUCUCUGUUUCUCAUAGCCACUUGGGCUCUCAGUUAUGUUUACAGCAGUAGCUGUGCUGGAUUGCUUCUGUACAUUCUCAUGCUGCUUCCUUCGUUCCAGCGUCAUUUGUAUUAAUUGCUCACCUGUCUUUAUUGUUUGGCUUUCAUUCUCACCCGAAUUUGGUUGGUUUAACCUGAGUUUGUUUUCAUCUGGAUCCAAGCCAAUAUGAUGUGGACGACUUCUCCUCUGGCUCUCUAGCUCCGUGAAGCCAUUGUUUUGUUGCUCCCCCUUUCUAUUCCAUUUGUCUCUGCCUCAGUUUAUUCUGGUUUUUUCUGCUUUUGAUAGAGCCCUCAUAUAAACCCCGUAAGGCAGAUUUUCUUUUGAUUGCCCUUCAUAUAAUACACAUUCUUUAAACUGAUGCCCAAUAAUACCACAACAGAAGCAGAAGUCUGGAAGUCGUUUAUACAAGCCCGGCAAUUCCACCUCAUCGUUAUCUUCCAACUCCAAGAAUACCAUUUUUUCUAAUGGUUUUAUAAUGUUGAUGGAAAUUCUGACUCUCGCAUACGGACCAAUGCAUUCCCCAUCAUCAUAUGUUUCCACUUCCAGAACCUCUCCUAACAACUCCCCCAGUUUUUGAACAUUUUCCCGAUCCAUACAUACUAUAGGCACAUUAUGAAUUUACACCCAAAAAGCUGCAUAUGUAAAUUCCUCCUUUCUCAUGUUUCCAAUCCCACUAGGUUCCUUUAGCACAAUCAACGAUCUGUCAAAAUGCAAGGUCCUCCUGCCAUCACCUUUCUUUUAUUUGUUUCCAAACCAAACUUAAAAAGGAAAAUAUUGUUUCCCAAGCUUUCAACUUUCACCUCUUUUAUUGUUCUCCAUGCUUGUGCUAAGGCGGUUUUGAUUCCUUCUGUUUGUAUGCUCCGUGCCAGCAGAACUUUGCCCACUAGAGAGUUUGCAAUUAUGCGUCCUCCUUGCCCUUGAGUUCCACCCCUGAGCGAUAGUUUUCUUCAUUGCCGUCUCGUAUGGAGAUAGCUUUGCAUUUCCUUACUAACUCCUCAGUAUCCAUUGGUAUUGAAUACAUCAACUAACCUCCACCUAUUUACUACCCUGAGUUUUCCAGUAUUUUUUGCCUACUCUCACUUUUAUAAAUGCACUCCCCUAAUGACACUCUCUGAAAAGGUUCAGAACCAAUCACUCAGUCUAAUGAGUGAAGAAUAGAGCCAUUAAAGCUCAAAAUAUACUCCAUUCUUUUGUUCUCUUUCGGAGAGAAAGAGAGCAUUCAACCUUCUGGACGAACUUGUACUUGUUGGAUUGAUUAUGAGAAUGAUUAAAUAAAUUAUCUGUUAAUGUGAAAGAUUGUAAAGUAUUGUUCUGCUAUUAUUGGCAGCAUGUGCCUAUGUCAUAUGAAAUAGAAUCUGUACUUUAUAUGUACUUCGAAAUAUUAGUUGAUAGAAUUCAAAGUAGGAGCAAAUCACGGCAACCAGUAAUGAAACUUCAUGCGGGGCUCCAACGCAUUAAUGAAGAAAUUUGUGUGGAAAUACCAUACUUGAGGUUUGGGAAAUGCUUGGACAAAGGGACACUUCUCGCGGCUAAUUUGGUGGCCCUAUAACGUGGUUUUCUUUUUUAUUUUUUCUUCCUUCGCUUUUGUCUUCAAAUUCAAUAUUAAAGUCAUUAUUUGCGUACUAAUCUUUUUGAACUAACUCAUUCUAUAAAUAUCCUAUUCAGUCUACUUGCUUCUUCAUCAUAGAAAAAAUGGCUUUGUUUCUCUUUCUUUGCUUUGCACUCAUUUUCUCAGCUCUAAGCAAUGGUGGCUCUGCUACCACUCGAGUUAUUCAUCCUCCUCGAUAUCUUGACAGUAAGCAUUUGUCGGAUCCUUAACUUUUGCUUCUUUUUUUUUUUUUCAUUUUAUAGCACAUACAAAACCCGUAACACAUUUGAUUAUGUAUUAAUUUGCUAAUUAAGCUACCGUUUGUACACGGAAGUAAAAAAUAAAAUAAAAUUAUAUAUAUAUAUGACGUGUGCUGUUUUUACAAAAAUAAAAUAAAAAACUGCCGGUUGCUUAUUUGGCUCCUUUAUUUGAGGAUAUUCUGUCACAUCGGCUGAGAAUAAUUAUUUAGCUAAUUAUUUAAAUUUAGGGUAACCCUCGACUCUUGAACUAAUUUCUUAAUAUAAGUUAAGUACAUGGGGAUUAAAUAAUCUUAUAUUGAGUUUCUUUUUUCUAAUUGUUUGUGUAGUCGAUGUGUCUUGCCAUGUAAUUUUGGCCAUUUGAGUGAGAUUAAUGUUGUUCUUCUAAUUCAAGAAAGAAACAUCUAUUGUUUAUGCGGUAAAAAUCUUAAUUUUUAAAUAAAAACACACAUAAUAUCAGUGACUUAUUAUUCCACCGAAGUUAUAUCUCUGAUGUUCAUAAAUUUUUGGUCUAAAAUGUAUUUUAAUCUGCAGCACUUCUGCCAAAUGGAAACUUUGAACUCUCACCGAAGAAAUCAAAACUCAACAAAACGGUGAUACUCGGAAAGUGAUUGAUGCGCAUGGUAUGUAUUCUCAUAAAAUAUCGAAAUAUUGUACACGCAACCCAAAAAGUGAUAACAUCUGAAAGAAAAACAAUUAGUAAGGCCCUGACCUGGCUGUGGGUUUGUGUUCUCAAGUCUCAACUUUUGUUGUGGACACGAUUUGGAGUGGAUUCAACUAUUUCGCGAAUAUGGGUAAAGUAAAUGAGUAAUGACAAAAGUCAUAGACAAUUUUAAAUAAAUUGGUAUGCAUAAAUUGAGAUAAUAUAAAUAGAUUGGUUAAAAAGUGAUAAUAGUUUUUUUUAAAUUAUAUAGGUGUAUAAUGAUUUUAUAUACUUAUUUGUAUAAGAUAGUUGUAUCUCUAUCAUUAUUCUAUUACAAAUAUAUGUAAGCAGCAUUAAUAAACUUUUGGUCUAUACUAUAAAUUUAUGUAUUUAGGUUGUCUGUGAACUUCAUAUUAUAGUAUCUAUAGAAUGCAACCAACCAAAUUAAAAGACAUUGUAUUAAACAUUUUAUUUGAGGAAAAAGUUUCUCUCUCCAAAUUUUUGGCAGAUGUGCAAUGAAUUUCCUUCAAAAAAAAGACCAAAAAAAAAAAAAAAAAGAGAGACCCAACCAAUAAUCUUCGAAAUCCUAGAGACUAUAAAAUAAGAUCAACAAGCAAAGAAGCCAAUAUACAAAUAAAAUUCUCACUAGGCAACCAAAAUAAAAGAAAGAAUAUAUUCAUAUUGAAGACACAGAUUUAAAUUGUUAUGAUUCCAAUCACAUUAAAAAUGUAGGAUAGACAAUAUUUUAUAAUUAAGAGAUCAAAUGAUCAGGAUACCUUUAUCAGUUAAUCUCUCUUUUCUUUUGUUUUUUUCUUUCCUGUUCCCACUUGAACUUAAGCCCAGUGUCUGUGGUACAAUGUACUUUGCUAGUGUUUACAAUAUUUACAGUCAUGAAAUGCAUACGUUAUUGAAGUGAAAAAUGUGAAAUAAUAAAAUUUUCUUCAAUAUUUUGAUUUGCGGACCAAAUACUCUCAGAAUAAAUCUGUGAAGAAUCUUGUAUUUGCGCAACAUCAAAAAAUUAAAAGAAAGGGUUUGAAAAAGAAAAGGUAACUUGGAUAGGAAGGAAGAGAAAGGAAAGUGAGAAUGUGAAGGCCAAGAAACAUGGAGAGAACCUAUUUAUACGAGUGUGCAGUCAAAAUCCAAAGCCAAAAUCUCUUACAUUAUCCUUUUUCUUUCACCUGGGUUUCUUCUAAAACAAAAGACACCUCUCUGUCUCUAUUCUGUUGUCUCAAAAUUGAGAUAAGUGGUUAGCAGGGAAAAUUGUUGUAAUCAGUUUUGACAGAUAAUACAUUCUUUUCUUUCAGUUCUGCUCACAUGAAUUUGCAUGUUUAUUUAAUCCUUUUUUUUCAUACGUUACCUUUUGUUUGCUGGUUUUAGAAUUUGAUUAAAUGGUGGUUUCCUAAAUUUAAUUGAACAACAGUUUUACUUUCUGAUGUUAUCCUGUGAAGGAAGGAUUAGACAAAAUAUCAAAGUAACCUCGAAAAACAUAACUGAAAAAUCGGCCUCGCCCGUGAAGUCAAGAGAGUAUACCACCUGUUUUCGAUGUUUCUCGAGGUUAAAGUCGCGUGAGACCAAAGAGAACGAGGAUACCAAAAAUUCAUCUGUGAGUGUUUACCAAAGUACUUCGAGGCUCGAGCUAAAGACAGCAAUACUAGACAGUCUUAAACAUGCCUUGCAGUGGCAGAUGAAUUUUUUAACUUGUCUCAAGUUCGGUUUCCGUACAAUGGUAAAAAAAAAAAAAACACGUUCGGGCACCAUUUCGUUACAGGUGUAAUUCAUCAAUAAGUUAAAAGAGUAUAAUCUUUUGAUUUAUGUCGAAUAGAUUGGUGCUAUAAGAACCUUUAUUUGAUCAAUGGAUUUAUGGGCACCCAUCUUUUUCAUAGUCGAUGUGGAAGCUUGUUUGAAAUCCGCUGUUCUCUUCCUGUAGUUGCAGUCUCUUCUUUACGAACAGACUCAGAUGUAAGAUUCAACACCUCACAACUUCAUUUGAACAAAACCACCCUUGAAUGAACCAUAGAGAGGUUGUGAUCUUCUGAAACUGAAAAUAUCAUCUAUGUGAACGAUGUGAGGCUCAGCUGAUUCACUAGUUUCUUCCUUCAACUCAGGUGCAUGCAGGCUCCCAUACACUCGAACACUUAGUGUCUUCUUCCGCGGUGCACCAGCUUUAAUAUUCUCGUUGAAAAAGUCAAUCAAUUCUUGUUGUGUCAGCUGCCUCAGUGCUGCAACCUGUUUCAACACUAAUAUUGUAUAAACCAACUACUUCAUAAUAUAAGUACUCAACUACAAGUGAAAAAGAUAAUUUUAAUUUGCUCAGGCCCCUAAGAAGGUUUACAGAGAACAGAGGCUGCGUUCUUCAUGUCUCUUAGUUUACCUUUUUCUCCAAAAUAAAUUGAAAAUGAAUCUUCAAACAUACAAAAGUCUUAACCUGACUUGGUGAAAAAUAAAUAAAUAAAUUGAUAGUAAUUCCCAUACCUCA
RNAcentral lists this long non-coding RNA (50738 nucleotides) under Citrus x clementina. RNAcentral's name for it is "Citrus clementina (C. clementina) long non-coding RNA (CCLE_LNC000506)". Lineage: Eukaryota; Viridiplantae; Streptophyta; Magnoliopsida; Sapindales; Rutaceae. The record is from RNAcentral.